AAAGAAUCCGUAUAAAUAGAAUAUUAUCUGCAGUCAAGAACAAACCAUGCACAUAAAUUCUCAAAGAACAAAAAAGAUAUGUUGCGCAUUGAGAUCAUCUGUAGGGACCAUGGUCUGUGAACAACUCUAUAAAUAGGGCUAUUAUUGUAUCGAGAACCACCAAAACAUCAAGCCACAUAUGAAAAGAAUGGAGGCAAAUGGUAGGCGUAAAGGCUUCAAGGGGAUGCUGAUGAUGUCCAUGUACCAAGCACCAAAGCCCUCUACAGUCCAAGUAAUUAGCAGCAAGGUAAAGCCCACUCCAUCUUCUCGGAAUGUCUCGUCUGGCUAUGUAGGAGAGGAUGAGUUCCGAAACCCUGCAGCCAAGCUGAUGCCUUCCUCUGUGAAGAAGGAAGGAGGUGACUUCAGUGUUGGAGGGGCUAUAGGUGGAAACUUUGUUAGUGAAGAUAGCGUGGAUGCGAGAGCUGCAGCUUAUAUCACCCGUGUUCGGAAGUGUUUCAAGCUCGAGUAGAUGGACUGCGAGAAGAGGAACUAUUAGUGGGUCUUAGUGCCACAAAGAUGGCCAUUUAGGGUUUAUGUUGCUGUAUUGCAGCUAUCUUAUGCUAAUUUUAUCUACGUAUCAGUUAAGUCGGGUCAAACUAUGUGAGAGUUGUCCAUUUUAUAGUUGAUCUUGUAGUUGCAUGUUACGUUAAUUAUAUUUAUAUACCAGUGAAUUAAGUUCAAAUUAUAAAGCAUAAAAUUGGUUUCAUUUUAGUUAGGCAAAUUUUGCUUUAUGGAACUAACAGAGUAUAAUUGUCAUCAUUCUGUGUCAAGCUUGGAUAGUCCAUCUUACAUAAAUGGCGCCCUGUCUCUUCCGCCACCCGUCGGCACUCGGCACUCUUUUAUUCUUAAUUACCAUGCGAACAAUGAAAUUAACCAUUUUCCAAACCGAAGGACUCGAGGCUAAGGUACUGCAAAAUCAGUGAAGAAAAUUAUCUAUCAUCUCUUCAUAUGUUAUUAAUCAAAUCUAUUAGAUUUUUUUUCUUCUUAUUAUUAAAAUUUAUAAUUUUAUCAAUGAAUAUAAUGGAGGAAUUGUCUAUUAAUCUUUGGCCACUUUGGUUAGUAGAUUGCGAUCUCAUGACAAAGAUUAGUCAAAGCAUGCUUGUCCUUGAACUCUUUUUUUCUUCUUCUUCUUGUUUUUGGAUAGAAAAGGGAGGCUACCCACCCAGAAUUUUUUGAUAUAAAAGAGAGAAGAACAACAUAGGGAGUGCGCCUUAGUAUGCCCAAGAAAUUAGAACCAAUAGACGAUGAGAUCUCAUCAAAGAGUUUGACAAUGAUGCAGAGGGAAGAAGUGAGAGGUAAAAUAGGGAGGAGAAUGACUUGGAACAUGCCUGCAGCCACCUACAAUUGGAGGAAAGAAAGAUAAAAGGACGAAAACAAAAAGACAUGCAGCUUCUCAGAUAGAAAACCACACGUUGGACGAUCGCCAUUGACGAAGAUUCUUCCCCAUAGAAACAUUCUUUUAUUCCGACCCCUCAAACCAGCCACUCGCGAACAACUUGUGCUCAGAUAAACAUUCUCCCAUCUCAGCUCAAGCAUGGCUCAAAUCUCUUCAAGCUUGGCUUGGUUCCCCAAAUGCAUACACAAACAUAACCAACAAACUCAUAGGCUUAUAUAUAUUCAGCAUGAAAUUUAACCCACUUUGGUGAUUGGACAAGAAAAUCUACUCCAAAAGACCAAACAAAAAAAUAUAUGAUGUUGAUGCAACACUACUAACUUCACUUUCAAUAUCAACUAUAUAAACCGCAAGCAGAUAUAUUUCCAAGAAAUAAAGACUAUCAUUUAGUUAUCGAAUCAUCAUCUAUUAUUUGAAAACAACCAAUUCUUAUGUAAGGAUAUGGAUGCCCGGACGACAUGGAGCAAAUUCUAAGAAGGGAUGUUCAGCAGAGUAAUGCAGUGGAUGAUCGAAUAAUCCUGAGCAUAUGACUGCCCCUGCUUCUUAGUUGAUGAGGUUUUGCAGACUACCCAUGAAGCCAUGUUUGAGCAAAGACUUCUUUGAGAAGAAGAUUGGCAACUCCACUGAGAUUCAUGGAGAUCAGGAAUUCGGGUGACCCAGGAUCGACCUACUUCCAAUACAAAAUCCAACACCCAAAUGACUUGACAUAAUCCUAGCCAAAGUCAUUUCCUCAAAGCUUAGAUCAAUAAAUUUGACUCAUUUUUGGAUAACUAUAAAUCUGACAUAUUUAAAAUAUGAGUCAGGUCUGAAUAAUAUAGAUGCAAUCUAAACCCAAACCUGAAACUAUUUUGCUGCCAGUAAUUGUCUUUACCUAAAGGGAAAAUGUAGAUGUUUAAUUUUAUGCAUAAUGGGAUGCUGAAAUUGUGAGGGCACGGUUUAUUGACCAGCCCGCACAUAACUUGGGCCCAAGGUCUGCUGGACCGGUCCGUACCAGUACGGCCUGGAACCGGUACCGGAUCAGCAUGGAAUCCGGUACCAGUAGCUUAUCGUUGGAGAACCGGUACGGGACUAGACCGAUCCGGUUCGGGCCGCCACUGGUACGCCAACCGGUACCGAUACGACGGAUCUUGCUUGGGCCUAUGGGUUGGCCCGAAGUAGCCAGCCCAAUCAUGCACGUGCACCGCACGUGACGAAUUGGGAGAGGAGGACUCCGGCCGAGAGUCUCCUUCCUCCCUGAUUCCGAUUGCGAUCGUAAUCGGAAUAGUGGAGUUCCAAGCCAAUCUGAACACCAAAAAACUCUCCCUUUGAGAUCCAUCAAAGAAUAUGGCUAGAUUUCUCGCGAUUUCAAGCUUCCUUCUCAAGAUUCUUCCUCCAAUUUCCGCUGAGAAAAGUCGCGGGAAAGCCUCACCGAACCUAAGUAUGAGUUCUUCAUCUCCUCCUCUUUCUUUCUUAGUGUUUUGGGCCUUCGUUCUCUUGGAUUUGAGCUGGCAAUCGCCGGAGCUUCAUCCUAAAUCGAGCAUCCCUAUUUCAGUCUUCUUCCACCAGGAUUAGCAACCGCCAGCUAUCGGGUUUUGCCGGGGUUGCGGCCACCUGAGGCCACCAUCGAGUAGGUAGCUAGGCCACCGCUGCUGCCACUUGUUACCAAUGAGGGAGAAGAAAGAAGAGAGACGAAGAGAAAGAUUCUUCCCACUUCUCUAUUUUCUCUCUUUCUCACUCCUCUCUUUACUUUCUCUCUCUAGAAGAUCUAUGGAACCCAAUAUCGUGUCCUAUCGACUUGAUCUACAAAUCUGAGUUGAUCCCUGAAAAGAGGCUUUGGAACUGCCUUGGUGCCCGGGCUGCCUACUAGACCGAUCAACCUGGCCCUAUUGAAUGCCCGUGAAACCUCCAUAGAUGAACCACGCUAAUUGAUCUUGGCCCUGAUUGAAUCCGAUUCAUUUAGUGAAUCGUCUAGACCUAACUCAUACAAAACACCGUACGCUCGAUCAAGUCUUCUCAAAUUAUCUUACUAAAGUUAUUAAUUAAAAAUUAAUUUUAAGGUUAAUAUUUCAAAUAGGUCUAGUGGAGUUUCCUAGCAAAGUUUAACAGUCUAAGACAAAAAAGGUAAAGAGGCCGUGCACUCCUUAUUGUUUUUCAAAUUAUCAUGUUUUUCCUCCAUAAGAUUUGCUUGUAGAAAUAUUAUGUUUUUAUUAAAAUUAUGGAUAAGCAUAUAUGCUAUGAAAAUCAUGCUUUAUUGUGAAAAAUAAUUUUAUAAAUAUUUUAAUGAAAUAGUUGUUAUAAAAUAUGAAUCUAUUCAUGCCAUUAGUAUUUUUCAUCUCUUCAUGUGUAUGUUUUAAUACAAAAAUAUAAGUAUUUUAACUUCGUGUUAUUGUGGGUUGUACUCCUCGGUAACAUGGCCAUCUCAUGCUUCGGAUAUGAGGCAUGAUAGAUAUUACCUUCUUUCCCACAAUAUAUUAGAGAUAUAAAGCAUCCCAAUCUAAAUGUUUCUCAUAUUUUAUGCCUAGAUAAUUUUAGACCCUGUUCAACUUGAAAAAUGCUUUAGUAAUAUUGGACAAGCAUAAAGAUAUAAAUUCUUUCAAGUAAAAACCACCAUUUUCUCUCUUAGAUUGCUACAUGCCAUCUUAUUUGGUUGGCCCAUCUAAGUUCUCUCAUUCAUUUCUAAAAGCACGGUGCAUUUUUCGUUCCAUUUCCCCUUACAAACCUGAUCUAACUGAACUUAAAAUGAAAGCUUAGACCUAACUGAAAUAUGGAUCAGGUCUAAAUUGUAAAAAUAGAAAUCUAAUUUCCCCUCAUGCUCCUUUCCUCCCUAUUUUAAAUGGGCCCCAUGGUUAGUUGGUGGUGUGGCAACCAGAAACUGCAAGUUUGUAUGGCUUUUUUUGAUGCCUUGUUGUUGAUGCUCCUUAGCAUAAGGGUAAACUGGAAGUAUUUGUUCAUGUAUUAAUUCAACUUGAAGUAAAGGGACUAACUUCUGAUCCACUUAGCUUUGGAGCAAACUACUCCACCCUAUAUGGAGGAAUAAGGUACUUCGAGAAAAAGUACUUCUACUAACCUUUUACAAUCUUUACUUUGUCUUUGGAAUAAUUUGGUUAUUUUUCUAGCACUUGAUGUGUUAAAGUGGAGUAAAUGGGUUAAAGGGACCUUUAUUCCAUUUAAAUCUUCUUUAAUCCUGACCUAAAUGCAUAAUACCUAUUGGCUUCUCCGCUGUUUCUCAAAAUAUCGGAUUAAUUGGUUUUUACAAUCUGUUUGGUUUCAAGUGAUUGUCAUUUUUAUGUAAUAGAAAUUUCAUAUAUUAAUUAAAGAAAACAGAGUUACACAAAUUGCUUGGGUUCGUGUUACAGAUUUUGUUAUCAUUUUCUGCAGUUCGUGAGAACGUCUAAUUUAUUUGUCUAACUAGUUACUGCAAUUGAGAGAGUAUUGUCAUACUCGUUUUGAUCGCCUGCCGCUUGAUGGCUAACUAGCCUUAGCUUAGUUGGUUGGCGCCCCUCUCAACUUUGGAGAGCCGAAGAGAUCUAGGGUUCAAAUUUUGGUGGCCGUAUUGCCACAAUAGAAAGAAGGCCAACCAUACUUAUCUCAACUAGUUGGCAUUCCUCUCCCCAUCUAAGAUGUCCAAAGCUCAGAUUAUGGUGGUGGCAACCUCAUUGUAUUUCUCAAAACUUUUUCAUCAAACUUUCCAAAGUACAUCAGUUUAUAAGUAUCAUUAAGACUCAAGCUCAAAUCUAACCUAGACUUAGUCUAGUUUCAAACUCAUAAACUUCUAGGUCAGGCAUAAAGUCCAAACAUAGACUCGUCAAUAAAAAAAAAAAAAUCAUAUUUGAGUUUGUGUUUAGCAAACUUAUAACAUAGCGCGUGCGUUGAUUCAUGUACACACUCUUCAUAUAUCUUAUAAAAUAUAUUAAUUAUACCUCGAAGCCAUGUCCUUACUGAAUUGUUUGAGUCGAUUAAGACAAUUAAACUUGUCAGAUAUUCAUACUCGUUUAGGACUAGUUCUUGGAUCUACACUCAUACUAAAUGAUGAUCUUAUGUUCCUUCAAUUAGCUGUGACAUUAACGAAAAUAUCAUUUUAUUGAGAAACACCACUAAUGUUAUUUGUGUUGGAAUUUUGUCGAAUUAUAUCAAACAGAGGAGCUUCCCUUCAAUCUUUCAAGAGGAAGAAAUAUCAGAUGUUUUAAUGCUAUCAAUCAAUGAGUGUUGCUCGGCGUGUGUAAUGCAUGUCGUAGAUAUGGGCUCAUCAGUCAAUGAAGCAAUUGGGAAUAUUGCAAUGCUCGUAAUUAAUUCAAGAAGUAUUUGAUGAAUGUUGAAGAGAAGAAACUGAGACAGAACACAUGAUACCCUUUAUAAACUCCUUGUAUACACUAGUUAUGUAGCUUAUGCACAAGCUGGGAGGGAAAGUGUUUCCUCAUUUCUUUUCUUUUUCCUUUAGUCACCAGCUUUUAUUAAAAACGAGUGUUUACAAGAGAAUGCUAUAGGGCAGAAUGUACAAAAAAAAAAGUAUGGGGAACAAAAAAAAAAAGAAAAAAGGAGGAGGCAUGUCGGAUCUCAUCUGGAAACAGUAGGAUUCAAGCUUUUAUAAGCAAGUCAACUUACUACAAAAAAAAAAAAAAAAAGCCAAUGUUGCAGUCCAACGAGCUACUCAACUUAUUGUGCAAUUUGAAUUAUAAACCUGCACUUACAACCUGAACGAUAUACGAACUCUACUUAUAAAACUCGAAACAAUCCCCACGAAAAGAGAGACGAGUAAACUUUUUUUGAUGUACAUACAAAAAUCUCUAUUUAUAUAUAUAUGUUUUGUUUUUUACUAUUGAAAAAUAUUACUAAGUUUUUUGGGUGCAACAUGUAUACUCCAUGCAUUGUACAGUGUACAUGUCGAUUGGAAGUAGGGUUCGGCUAAAAUUGGAUAUUCUAGCAAUUAGCAAUAAAUUUUCAAGUCUCGAUAAUAUCUAAUAAUUAUUCAAAGAUGUUUAUAUCAAAUAAAUUACAUAAUUUUCUUCAUUCGAUUAAUCUUAAACAUGUCAAUUUGAUCGUAUUAAUUGAUAUUAUGGUAGAAAAUUUAAAAGUUAAUUUGCAUUCUUUCCUUUUAAUAUACACAACAGCAAGGUUCGGGAGUAAUAUAAGGGCUCUUUCUAAAAUCCUUAUCGCUGUAGCUAUUAAACAAAGAGGAAUAUUAAAAAUGACCCAUACUGAGAUCUGUCCAGAGCUGGAAGAAGUGCAAAUACACAGCAAUUUCUUCAGAUUGGAGACUCAGGCUUAGUUCAUAGAAAUUGAACAAUAAUAUGUUGAAAGAAUAAUUCCUCAGAGAAUCACCAAGCUAUUUUAUCAUGCAACACCAAAUAAAACCCAAGAUCUCACACCCUCAAUCUCUAGAUAACCCCUCCUAGAAAUCUAUGCCUAGUUAAAUUGCCUAGUAUUAGAAAUCUAUCAACUUGGCAACAGAGAUGGAAAGUCUAAUACAAAUGACCUUGAUAUCCAUAUCGGAAAUCAUUUUGAUCUAAAAGAUUAAACCAUCAAUGAUGUAUAUUAGUUCUUCUAAUUUCGCAGGUUACAUAGUUGAUGUAGGACUAGAGCUCACAGAUGGCCUUCAUCUAUCUCCAUAUGGCCAAAGUUCAACUUUGACAGAGAUCAACAACAAGAUUAAAAUGGGGACAUGCAUAUAGACUUGGUCUCUCGCAUGAGGAUCUUGGUCAAUAAGACCUAUGAUUACAGAAGUACUAGCAUUGGUUAGUUGUUAGGAGUAUGGUAGUAAUUCUCAAUCUAGAUCAUGAGUAAUAAAAUUGGUGGGGGGGAGAAAAAAACACCUUUGACCAUUGUAAGAUCUAACAGUUUCAACAAUCAAAGGAAUGCAGAACUCAGUUAAGGGGUAACAGUAUCUCUACUGCCAAGAAAAAGGGAGAGUUUGGGAGGUCCCAUCUGAACCUUCUCCAUCAACAUGAAAUAUACCCUGGCAAUGAAGCUUGGCAUCAUUAGCAUCAGAAACCAAAACAGUACCCACAUGCCCAUCCUCCAUUCCUGGACAUGAGAACCCAGUUGGCGAAAUACUGUUGGAUGGCUGGGAGCGAGUACCCCGAGCAAGACCAUCAUACUGCAGACUUGAAACAAGAGGCUGACCCAUGGGAAUCCGAUCAGCUGAUGGCACAACUUGGCUUAGAUUGAUGCCUGAAUUCUGUGUUGGAGAUGACAGAAGAGAGAGAGCACAAUCAGAGUCGAGGACUUGGGUUAAACUGUUGGAGAACAUCAUGCUGCUGCUGCUCUCAGAUGGAGGAAUGGUCUUAAGAAGUGGCUGGCACACCGAAGCUGUCUCGAGCAUUGCUCUGCUGUCGAGGACUGUCUCACCAUCCUGCAAGAAAGGGAACCGCCUUCUUUCUUUGUUGUAGCUGUAGGAGGAACCAGAGAAAUGGUGUUGCCUGUUGAUGAGAUGCAGAGGGCGGUGUGGAUAAAGGGUACUCUCCUCAGUUUUGAUAAUCCCCGUCCAGUUGGGCUCUGGUGUAACAGUUGGAAAGAUAUGAGGAUACGAGAAUCUGGCGCCUGUAGACAGGAAGAUUUUAUAAGAAAACAAUAAAUUUAUCAGAGAAUAUGCAUUUAAUAGCUUUAGAGUCAAAUUAGAUGCCUAUGAUGCAGGAAAAUAUUAAUAAAGAAAGAUAUAUAGAAGAGCCAACAAGCAUUAAACUUGUAAUAUAAUUUAUAUACUGCAUAUAGCUGAGAAAACAGCAAGGAUGAGGAAGAAAGAAAUAUUGAAAAAUAUUGCCAAUGUCUUCUUUAUAUCUAUCUAGCUAUGUAUGGCGUUCAGUAUCUUUAGAAUCAGGAUUCAGGAAUUUGGAAAAUACAUUCGAUGCCAGUGCCAAUGGAAUUUGGUGGUGGCGGUGGCGGUGGCAUUGGUGUUAAGGGGGUUGGUAGCUAUGCAAACAAGAAUAAGAAUACAAGGGUCUUGGAAGCUGAAUUUUUUAAGGGAUGAUAUUUUUGAAAAUAUCAUUUUUCCAAAACAACAGAACAUAGGUUUAGACAUGACUUAGGCCAGUGGCGCUGCUUUUCUGUUCACAGAAACAGGAAAGUAGAAAGGAAAACACAAAGGGUCCUUAAUAUAUUAAAUAAUUUGCUCAUAUUUCAUGAAUAAGAUUUAAAAUAAAUGGUAAAAUUCAUAAUUUACUGAAAACUAGGCGAUUUAAUUAUUGAGGAAGAAAUUAGAGAAAAUCAUCCUGCAACAUAUUGGUAGAUAUGAAGCAUUCAGUUAGAUGAUUUAUUCUGGUUUCUAGUCGGGUGUGAUCAAGCAUGUUAUCUUAGUCUCUGAUGCCCAACUUCAAUGCUUCAUUUCAUUACAGAAUGCUGUGGCCAUAAGCCAAUGGGAUAAUUUAAGUGCCUUGUAAUUAAUUGCAGAAUCACAAAGGUGUAAAAUUUAAAAACCUUGGUGAUUUGUGAACAAGCUGCCAGAAUUUGCAGGAUCUGGCUUAGGUUUCCUUCGACGUCUAUUGUGCCCAUCAAGACGUUUUCUACAGCUUCGUUUUACCUCAUCAAAUUCCACCAGUAAAUGAAACCUGUGGGAAGAAUAAGAUUACAAGAUAAAGAUAAAGAUACUUUUAAUGAAGAAAAGGCAUGAGAAUAAUACACCAGCUAUAAUGCAAAAAGAGUGUUCAAGUGCGAGAAGGUCCUGUAGAACAAAAUCAGCCAAAUUUGUGGAAGUAAAAAAGAAGAACGACAACACUAAUACUGCUUCCACAUAUUCCAGGUUCCUUUCCCAGCUACUAAUGGUAAGGACAGUAAACAUAGAGUAUGGAGCACAAAUAAAAAGGUUUUGUGCAAGCAUGAGUGCCAAUUUAACUCAAAGAUAAAGUUCAGNNNNNNNNNNNNNNNNNNNNNNNNNNNNNNNNNNNNNNNNNNNNNNNNNNNNNNNNNNNNNNNNNNNNNNNNNNNNNNNNNNNNNNNNNNNNNNNNNNNNNNNNNNNNNNNNNNNNNNNNNNNNNNNNNNNNNNNNNNNNNNNNNNNNNNNNNNNNNNNNNNNNNNNNNNNNNNNNNNNNNNNNNNNNNNNNNNNNNNNNNNNNNNNNNNNNNNNNNNNNNNNNNNNNNNNNNNNNNNNNNNNNNNNNNNNNNNNNNNNNNNNNNNNNNNNNNNNNNNNNNNNNNNNNNNNNNNNNNNNNNNNNNNNNNNNNNNNNNNNNNNNNNNNNNNNNNNNNNNNNNNNNNNNNNNNNNNNNNNNNNNNNNNNNNNNNNNNNNNNNNNNNNNNNNNNNNNNNNNNNNNNNNNNNNNNNNNNNNNNNNNNNNNNNNNNNNNNNNNNNNNNNNNNNNNNNNNNNNNNNNNNNNNNNNNNNNNNNNNNNNNNNNNNNNNNNNNNNNNNNNNNNNNNNNNNNNNNNNNNNNNNNNNNNNNNNNNNNNNNNNNNNNNNNNNNNNNNNNNNNNNNNNNNNNNNNNNNNNNNNNNNNNNNNNNGAGAGAGAGAGAGGAAUGGAGGGUGGGAGGGAGAAUUUCGAACACUUGAUAGAAAGUUUGAGCAUUUUUGUGCAUGGUGAGGCAACAUGGUAAGAUGACAAGACUCUGUAAGCUAAUAUCCCCCGGCUGCAUUUAGGCUGUAUUUGGAUUAGGCAUAAAGUAGGCAUAAGGCUUUUUCUCUGUAAGCUAAUAUCCCCCGGCUGCAUUUAGGCUGUAUUUGGAUUAGGCAUAAGGCUUAGCCUUAUGCCUACCAAACAGGAUUUUGGAAAGGAGGCAUAAACAGAGAAAUAGGAAUGCCGGUCAAACUUGCUUAUGACAUGCAUAACUAAGAGAGUUUUCAUAAGCAAUUCCUUGGCAUGAACAUGCUUUUUCUGCCUACUUUUUAGUUUACAGAGUACAGACAAAAAGUUAUCAUUCAAAAGCAGUUCCAAAAAGUUGCCUUUUGUUAUUCACAAGUGAGAAGCCAAACAAAAAUUGAUACAACUAUUGCCAUAGGCAUAACUUUUACUUCCCAAUUUUCUUAUUCUUGAACCAUGCAGCCUCAAAGCAGGAAACUAGGGAAAAUGCAUCGUUCAACCCCAAUUGUCUUCUGAUAAACAAAACUAAUUUGAGUCCUUGGAGUCGAUUUGAAUUGCAACUCCACAUUGCUUCCUCACAAAUGAUACAUAGAUAAAGACAAUCUUUGCAUAGAUAUUUCAGUGAAUAUGACAAUAACCGAUGAAAAAUAACUUGCAUACACACACACAAAGAUACAUUCAUAUUUAUACACACACACNNNNNNNNNNNNNNNNNNNNNCACACACACAUAUAUAUAUAUAUAAUCAUUAUCUUAUUUAUAUAUAUGAGCUUGAAUGAAUUCCCUGCAGUUAACACUACAAUUAGUACCAGCAGGAAAGCAGGGAUAAGAUGGAAAGAAGGAAAGAAGUUUUCACAUGUAUGGAAACUUGGACACCUGGACAUCUUAUGACACUCCUUGAUCCUUGAAUCAACAAAGCAUAAUCAUCACUACUACAUAUCAACAUUUGGCAUUUAUUCCUAGAAGUUCUCGAAUCUAACUUAAUAUUUAGCAAAAAAUCGAACAAUUCUGUUACGUAAAAAGCAUUGGUCCAACAAAUAAUUCAUUACAUAAAAAAAAUCUGUACAUAUUUACAGACACAUCCAUGUAACAUGGACGUCUCCCUGUCUCCACUUUGAAGGUUUCAUGUCUAACUCUUUUGGGCACUUGGAUACCUGACACCCAUCCCACAUGUUCAUGUACAGUUAAGUCACAAGCAUGGGGGAGAAUCAAGGUGUUUCAAUGAAAGUUAUUACGGUUUGGGAAAAGUAGGUUUGCAAUCGAGCUCAAAGAGUACAAAACAGGAUGCAUGCAACACCAAAUGCACCACAGUAAAAUGCAUUUGGUGAUGAAGACAACCUACGAAUCACUGGUGAACUUGGGGCAACUUUGGAGAAGGAAGCCUCAAGCAGUCUAGAUUGUAGGGUAAAAUACAAUUAUAGGUUGGGGAAAAGGAUAGCAGCAAUAGAAAUUUUAUGGCGAUGUUUACUAAUGGUAAAGAAGGCCGGCUCAUGAUGUCAAUAGCAGCAAAGCAAGGCGACAAGCAAUGCACAGAGCAGCAGGGUGAAGUUACAUACAAAAAAACAUCAUAAUUCUUCAAGAGGAAAUAUGAAAGGAUGACUGGUCGCUGAUAGAGGCUACAAUAUAAAAUUGGUGUACAAGUCUUAUUACCAGUAUCAUAGAUCACUGAACCAAGUCUGAGACAAUCACAGUGCAAGAAAGCAAUGCAUGUGAAGCAAAAGUAGUUGGUCUAGACUCUAGAGUCUAGACAUUGUAUGAUUUAAAGCAAGAGAGAUAGAAGUUGGCAGUGAAAGAGUCCAAUGUUUUAAAGACUAUUAAUAGUUAAUAAUAGCAAUGCUAGAGCUUAUAAAGCCUAUUAAAGCCACCAAAUAUAACAAUCAUAGGAAAGCAAGCUACUACAGGAACAAAAUGUGAGAUGUGAAAGAAAAAGGAGAAAGAUUUAGCAAAGAAGCCAGCUGAAAGACAAUCCAGUGAUGCAGCAUUACAGAGCAAUCUCGGACAAAGAAUGUGGAACGGUUCGAGGAGAUAACUGGCCUCCUUGUACAAGCUCACAAUGCAAUAGGACAGCUUGAAUGAACUGUGAAGCAAAAUUAAGCAACUACACACUAAUGGAAAAAAAAUUGUGUGCAGAAUGUAUCAAGAUGCAAUAUAAAGAUAAAGAGAUGAAUAAGUGUGCGAAACCAAGAAGCCAAAGAAUAACGGUAACUCAAAUUAGGUUCUAAUGGCAAAAGAUAUAGAGAGCAAGAGGAAAAUGGUGAGCCUAAAUAACAGUAAAAAAAAUGAAUAAACACAAUACCGAUGCAUAAAUUGAACUUGUAAGAGGACAAAAAAUGCCACCACAAGUGUAUCACAUACAAAAUACAAAGUCAUUGGAUCAAAUUAGCCUAGACAAAGAAAUCAGUAAAGACCUUGAGAAGAGCCAAGUAUUAGUUCUGGCACUGAACAAUCCAAAAAGAAGGAAACGAGAUCACAAAAAUUUAAAAUUAGUUCUGCAAUGCCAAAUUAUCAACAUGGUUCUUCAAGAUGAGGAUGAGCUAAAAAAAAGGAGCAGAACCAAUGACGAUCUGGUUUAAGAGGAUCACGGGCCACAAAGGGCCAAAGAUGGCUCCUAGAAGACUGGGAACAAUUGUGAAAUUAUUGGUAAAUCAAAAAUUGGGUGCAAAAGGUGUGAAAGACCAAACAACAAUUUUAGCUAUGAAUUAAAGCUUAAAUGCUUAAACUAAAUUGAACGAGACCAAAAAGGGAAUGAUCAGCAAGUUUGGCAAUGCUUGAAUCAGAAAUUGGUUAUGAAAAGAUAGGAGGAGGAUCUGGACAAAACUGAAACAUAACAAUAUUAAUUCCAGCGGAGGUAUGGUGACAGAAGAUGGGCAGAAUAUGUUUUUAAGCACUAUUUACAUGCUAGAUCAGAUAAAAUCCAAUUUUAGAGAGGUUGCUUCAUUCAUCAAAAGCUAAAUACAAAAUGUCCUCAAGAUGAUGGCAUGUUGCUAGUUUCCAAAAAUGCUCUAAUAGCAAGGUCCACUGGAAGAACAUGUGCAAAAAGUGAAGCACAAUUAAUAAUUCAUCUCCAAAUUAGAGAUCCCCAAGAAAUAGGCAGCUUUUGCACACAAGGCCUGAAAUGUCCCAUUAUUAUGAGAACUCAGGCAAAAGUUUCAAAAUGAAUGAAAAUCUUAAAAAUGAAAUAAGCUAAAAUAAAUAUAGCUAAAAAGAAGUCGACUAUACUAGGAUGCCCCACAGUGGGGUGCACAUUCUUGACCUGUGCACAAACACUCAAUUGUGCAACCCUUAUGCAAGAUUAUACAUAUGUAUGUACAACCCCUAAGCCAGAAACCAGUGGAAGGUCUAUAUGAAGCAAAUAUUUCUCAUAAAGACAUCAAAUUAUUAUGAAAAACAUUCUUAGUUCUCAGUAAGAAUUUCUACAUGAUUGAUGGAUAUGCUCAUCACAGAAAAGUAUAUAAAUCAUUCAGAAAUUUCUUUGCUGAAGUCAACCACAAUCAGUGAGCAAUUUAAAGAGACUAAGAGCUUACCAGUCUAUUCUAUUCUUUGAAUAACCCCACUUAGUUCACUAACAACACGGAGCAUAGAUGGGAUGGAGAGGAAUUCGGAGUAAGAAGAUUUUCUAGAGAAAAUAUACCUGCUCAAUCUAUCAUUUGCUUUCAGACACAAAAGGAGGCAAAUGGAAGCAGUAUUUACCAGCAGUUAUAGUAGUCAAUUGCAUCUCCAGAGUUCUAAAAGGAUGUCAGACAAUAAGGAUCACAAGAAUUUAAUGUGCCCUAACAAGAAUUGGAAGAUAGCAGACUCUGUAGGUGAAGGGAAAGGAAAAUAAGCCAGGAGAAGGCUCAUGAAAAGAUUAGAGAAUGAACAGAAAACCAGACAAUAAAAAUAGAAUUGCUCAUUCUAAGAAUAAGAUAAUAUUCAUGCUAAUGGGGAAAGAAAAAAAGUUUAACGCCUUUUGUGAAUCAGAAAAUGCCGAAAUUUUAGCCUUCCAAGGGAGUAAAUGAAAUGGGCAAUAGCCAAAAAAAGGUGACAGAAGAAAGAUUUCGCACAUAUUUCCGUCAAGUAAAGAGCAAGAUCUAGAUUUGCAGGAGUAAAUGAGUGGAAAGAAAUAAAAGGAAAAGACAGAGAAGGCAGAAGCAAAGAAAAGGACUGUCUUAUAUUAGACGCUUUUGACCCAAAGAGAAACCGCUUAUCGAAGAAUUUUUUGAACAUAAUAUAUGUAAAAGUCCAUGAAAAAUAUGAUAGAACAAAAUAAAUUAUGUCAUUCAAUGCCAAGGUUUAAGAAACAAGUCAGGCCACAAGUCCAACCGGAUAAGGUAUUAAACAUAUGGAUACAACAAAAUGACAAAACAAAAUAAGAGAAACUUGAAGAUCAAUUAGAGAGACAAUAAUGUAAUGUGGUGGGUUGAUUUGUCUCUUAAAAAAGACUUGAUGGAAAAGGUUAUGUAAAAUACUACGUUCAAGUUUGGAUAAACUUGGCCUGGAUGGCUACUAUUUCACCUUUUAGAACACAUCUCAGAAGAAUCAACUAAGUGUCUUAAGUUCAGUACUAAUUGAAUCAUCAAAGGGUGGCCCCAGUUUUAUACAAAAAAGAGCCCCAAAAAAUUAAAAUCAAAUACAAACACAAGUAUAUAAAAUUGCUAAAUUGCAUGAAAUGGUUAAAUUAAGUGCAAGGGAAAAUAAAUCUGAAAGUCAAACAAAAUUUGCAAAAUUAAAAAAAAAAAAAUCACAUCCAAACCUUCUUCAGAUCAGCACCGCUGGCUGCAACUGAGAUUUCUGACACAAUCAUUUCAAAACAUAACUGUUGAAACUAAAUAGGAUCAACUUUCUUGGUAGUUCCAGACAAAAGUAAUGAAAGAAUUACAGUCAAGAACAUAAAUAUAAUUAUUUUAAAGAAUAAAAAUUUAAAUUCUGAAAAAUAGAUAGCAAUCAAAAUAAAAUUAAAUAAAUGCAUAACGAUUUAUCUUGCAUGGUUUCAUAACACAAACCACCGAUAAUAUCAGGGGCAUGGCUUUGAUGUCAAACAGUCAGAUCAUUAAUUACAACCAUACAUAACAUCCAAAAUCUUCUAUCAAUAGAUAUUUGGAGAAAUUAACCAUAACACAAACAAUUCCAAAUAUAGCAAUGCCUGCUUGUACAACAUGAAACAAUCAGCACUACGUAAGCGAGAACCAUUGUGCAACUACAAAAUUAACAAGAUUUACCGUUCUCUCCCAUGAAAGCCUGUUACAUUACCUGCUGCACUGCUGGCAGAAGCGCUGUUCUUGCCCACCUACCAUCACUACUGGGGUCUUGGAGUGGACCUCACAGACCUUAUGGCGCCGGUGAUACUCUCUACACUUGCUCAGGUCUGCUUUGCAACCAUCAACCGAGCAUGCGGCAUUCUGGCUGCCAUUGCUCGGUGCUCGAGGCCUCUUCGAUGGACCGGAGGAGGAGACCACCAUCUUCGACACCCUGGGCUGGUCUUUCCACUUAUCGGACGAUCCGAAAUCCCCCAAGCCCCCAAGCUUCAAAUCAAUGGAGCAAUCCAGCCCACUGGCCUGCCAUCUAGGGUCGCUGCUAGACCCCACGGCUGAUCCAAUGCUGGGCUCGGUGCCACGCUCCAAUUCUGCCAGAUCCCAAGGAGGCAUCUUCAAAUCCCACUCCAUGAAAGCACCUCUCCUAUUCUCCUUCUGCUCUGUUAUGCUCUCUCUCUGUUCCUCUCUUCCUUUUUGCUUUCUUUUACUAUGCGUCCUUCUACUCUGUUGUUUUCCUUCCUCUCCUGUCACCCUCUUCUCUCGCCCACUCACACCUCUCUCUAUCAAUCCCACUAUCACCAGUCCAUCACACACAACAACCACCACUAAACCUCCCCCUCCAGAAAUUCCAACGAGGACUCAACAAAAAAGGAAAACCAACACCAAUACAGCAAACUUGAGCCAAGAAACAUUGGCAAGCAAAGCUAAAGAAAAGGACUCAUAAACAAAGGCAAAAGGUCCAGAAUCCAGUUCAAAAUCCAGCGGAAAGAGACAGAAGAAUGGAACGAUUCAAGAACCAAGAUAGGAGCAACAAACCUAACUGCCAAUAUCAAGAAAUCUCAUCUUGAAAAGCCUCACACACGGCCUAAAAUUACAAGCAAGGAAUCAAAAAGCAGGCAUGGACCAACAAGAUCACAUCAACAAAAAAAAAAAAAAUACUCAUCUUGACAAUGAUAAUCCUCCUCAAAUAGUCCCGUAUUACAGAAACCUCAGAAGAUCCUCCAAGAAAAACCAAAAAAAAAAAACCAAAAGUGGAGAGAGAACUGGAGAUGAAGGAAAGGGCAAAAGCAGCAAGCAAAAAGACGAGGAACUGAAAACUACCCAGCACUUACAGGCAACUGCAGGAGGACCAACAGAAGGCUGAUUUGGUUAGGAGCUUUCCAACCAUUCAAUUCCUGACAGGGAUUCCACGGCGAACAGUAAAUGAGAAGGGAUAUAUGGCGGUGGCGUAGGUUGAUGAUUCUCACUACCCUGCCUUCCUUAUCAAUACCUCUUCAUUUGGAUUCGGUCACUGGUAUGGAGAUACUUGUGCAGCAAUUAUUGGAAAGAGUCGCAGUCAAGCUCGAUAUUAUUAUGGCUAUUAAGAGAGAGAGAAGAGGAGGAGAGAGAAGAGGAGGAAGAAGAGGAGGGGUGGGUGGGCUAAUGAGCCAAGAAGCAGCAAAUCCUUGAGUGGCAUAUGGGUUUGCUUUUAGGGCUUACCAUGGCCUUUUGUUAAUUAAAAAAUGAAAGACUGUAAUUGUGUGUGUGUGAGUGUGUGUGUGUGUGUGUGUGUGUGUGUGUGUGUGAGAGAGAGAGAGAGAGAGAGGAAAUUGGAGAGCCAGGGUGUGGUUGCUUUCAACCUUUCAAGGGUGAGAAAAGUACAAAAUGGAGAGGGAAGGUAAGGUGAAGGGGGGUAGAAGGGUUAAGCAAUCAAAAGUUUAUGCUUCAUGAUUCCUGACAUGCUUUCCUUCCCCUCUUUUUCCAUGGUGUUUUUUUUUUUUUGGGUCCAGUAAUCGAUUUCACGUUUCACAAAGAGCUGGCAAUCGGAUUAAAAAAAUUCUGGUCUUGAACCUGGCCGAUUUAUUGAACAAGUGAGCAUGUGAAACUUGAACAUGUCAUAUUUAAUGAAUAGGUUACUUGACUCAGCCUGCUUAACCUAUUUAAUAAAUUACUUAAUUUAUUAACCUAUUUAAUCUGCUAAUUUGUAUAAUUUUUGAACCUUAUUAACCUGUUUAAUAAGUACCUAAUUAUUAAACGGAUUAAAUAUGUUAAACGAGUCGGAGAGCUAAAACCUCAACCCAAUCUGAUUAUUAAAUAGUUUAAAUAAAUUGAUCUGUUUACGAUUUAGAUCUAUUUAGCCUAAAUUCAAAUCUGUUUAUUGCAGAUCGAACAUAAAUUAGAUUGACCGAUCAUGUCAUAUUUUACUAGCUCCUAUUUCCAGCUCGGGAUACGUCGAACUUCUUUCCAUACUCAUUGCCUCUCCUUCCUAAUUUUCAUAUAAGUUUUGACCAGCAGGCGAUGCUACGGUUAAUUUCAAUGCCUAGUGUGUGAGGACUCAAGAUUCCAAGGUCCAAUUCCAACAACUAUUGGAAGAGUUUAGGUGCAACCACCAAGCAGUGCGCCUACUAAACCUAUCUCUCCAUCACUUUCCUCAAGUAGGCAUGUGCCUCGUGGAACAAGGGUAUUUGCCCAUUCCCAACACACAAACCUGCCCCUACAAAAAAAAAAAAAAAAAAAAAAGAAAAGAAAGAGCGAAUCUGUGGGAAAGAUCAGGGAAGAAGAUUCCAUGCAUAUAUUUUUUUUAUGGUUUUGGGAAAUAUAAUUUCCAGAACCUUCUAGAAUCUGAAUGUAGGUCAUACAAAAUGGGACUAAAUUUGUGGAUGCGAUAUAAAGAUCCAAUAGUGGACUGGCUCACUGGUGGUGUCCAUGGCAAAGCACUUGUAGGUUUACGGCUUUGAAGGGACAAGUCAGGCUACUUCUAUGUCCGAGCUUCUUGGGCACUUGACUUCUUCCAGGGGCCACGAAGGUUGGCCGAAAAGCAAAACCCAAACUACAAGAUUAAAGAAAUGUUUUAAAUUGCUUAGAUUUUUUCCUUGUUAAGUGAGGAAAGGUUCUAACUCAUCCUUUACACCCAUCCCAUCAUUGGUUGGUUCGAAGUCUAGGUCUCUAGAAAGAUAGAUUGAGAAUGGUAGCCACGGAAUAAGGAUAUGGGCAAAAGGAACCAAGGACGAUAGCUUUAGAAAUUAAAUCUUCAUCUCUAGAACUAAAAAUUGGUGCUAAAUUGCUUAGAAUGUGAUUGCAUGACACAACAUUUGGCCGCCCUGGAGUCUAAAGCACACUUGGUCAAAAGAUGGAUGGUACUAUAUUCAAGCAGCUUGUCCCUUUUAUUCCUCUUUAAACCAAUCAUUAGGGUUCGGACUGUAUCUUUCGCCUAAUGAUUAAUCUUUUUUCGCGAUGUCAGUUAUUGGAUCGUUAUCUUGCUAGAUUUGAAAACACUCUAACCAGCUAAGGCGCGAUAUAAUCUUUGAUGUCAUAAAAGGAGGUGAAUCAUUUUUCCGGAUGGAAGGUACAAUCCAAACCCAAGGGCUCAUCUUAAUAAACAUUUUUGAGAUUUUGCUUUCUAGGUGAUAUUCUUGAAUUACUAAAUAAGUAGGCAUUGGAUAAUUUAUGAGAGCCUAUUAGGUUGGUGAUGUGGUCAGAAAGCAUGAGCGGCAUAAUAUAAUAUAAUUUUAUAACAAAACUCGGUUUGUCGUUCCACUCUCUCUCUUCUCUAUAGUCGUAAAGCCUCACAUCUUUUUCAACAAGAGAGCUUAUAGGUCAAUGAACUAUAUUUAUGUAACGCAUCAUUACAUACACAUGCAGCUAAAGAGGCCAACACUCGAAGAGAGUAAGGAUAGAAUGGACUCAGUUAUUUUGGAAUAAGAAAUCGGAUGGACGGUGUGACUAAGGAAAGUGGAAGCAGGGCAAUUUCUAUGCUUAUAAGGCUACUUUAGCUGACUUGGGAUCCUUCAUUGACUUAUUUUGCUCUAUAAAGAGUUGCAAGCCAUCAUCAUAUCAUCUCAUCACUGAGAUGAUGGUUGUCAAACACCCACUGAUCCCUAUCGCAAUGCACCAUAUUUGGUAUAAAAGUAAAAAUCACUAAGAUAAAUUGGUGGAGAGGGCAAAAGUAACAAAGAAAGUAGGUCCAAACAAAAGAGGCAAGAUAUUAGGAUUUUUCUUUGAAUAAAAGAGAAGGAAGUAUGUGAUUGAGAUUGGCUAGAUCAAAAUAAGCCAAGAUAGAGCAGCCUAGAGCUUCUCUCAGCUCAUCUGCAACCUACCUAUAUUUUCUCAUGAAGAUAUUUUAUUUUCUCACCCCCCUCUCUCUCUCCCCCCCCNNNNNNNNNNNNNNNNNNNNCCUCUCUCUCUCUCUCUCUCUCUCCUAACCUAAAAAAAAAAAUAAGAGAAAGAAAAGUCCAAAACAACUGCCCAAGAUCACAAUUCAUAAUUCAUGAGAACUUCAAAGAAAAAUCCAAAACCCAAGUCCCCUCUUUAUCCUCUCCCUCUCCCCUGAAGCAGCAAGAGUCUUCAGUGUACUUGGCAAUUAUACUUAAUUUGUUUCUGAGCACGAGUGGGACUUUCUUCCAUAUUCUAUCAGGCAAUAAGAUAGACAUAUGACUCUAUAAUGACACAUGCAAGACAACUCAUUUCAGACUUCUUGGCAUUGGCCUGAAACGAAGAGAAGAAAAAAAAAAACUAUAGAUAAAUAAAGCUUGGAGCAUCUUUGAGUUGAGUGCAAUUAAUCCCUAAACCCUAUGUGGCUGGACCACCGACAGGGUUAGCUGAACUCAGUACUGAUAGCCUACUACCCAAGGACCACAGACAAAUAAACCGCAUACAUCCCACACUUAAUUGGGAGCACCUAACUCCUAUCAAAUUCCCAUAGUGUGGUCCAAUCCUCAACAUGCAGUCCAUAGAUUCAAUCAGUAGAUAGCAAGAUCCAAUCACUAACUAAAUCCUCUAGUUGUUGGGAUUAGAUAGGACCAUUAGCACUAAUAUAUUAGAUUGGAAGGUACCAAAGGUGUUUUGCAAGAUUUUGAUAGUACUUGUUUUUAUCAUUCGAUACGUUUCGAAGCGUACUUAUAAUGCUAGCAUCAAAACAAGAAAUUGUUGUAGUAUCCCAAGCUCAAUAUUUUAAACAUAGGAAUGGAAAGUUAUUCCAAUGUUCUAAAGGCAUUUCUUGGAUCUUUAGAUGUAUUUGUUUGUGUUGUUUUAAUCAUUAUACAUGGCUUAGAUGUAUUUAUUUAUCUCCCGAGUACACAAUUCUAAACGAUGACGACAACAAAAGUAUGAAGACAUGAAGUUGUGUGGUCUCCUUUGGUUAGUUUAAGUAUACCAUGGGAAUUAUUUAGGACCACCAAUAUCACCCAUAGAUGGCAAGAUGCCAAAUGCACCUUGAAACUUACCUACUAGUGUCGUUGGCUCUUGACUCCAACUAUUCAAUCAAAUUGGGGGCCAUAGGAGUUUCUCCUCUUCUUUUUGUUCAAGGGCAGUUACUGGUUUCCAAGCUUUUGGCUCAGCUGGACACAUUACUAAAGCAAACAUCUGCCUAAUUCCUAAUCCUUGUAUUUUCAUGAUUAAUUGAAGACUGUUGUGAAAGAUUAUUACCUUGCAAGGCAACAAAUCCAUGAAUGGAGAAGGAAAAAGAAGAAGAAAAGAAAACAAAUCCAUUAAUUGCUUCAUGAUCAUGGUUUCAAUCUUCAUUUUUUAGAGAAAAAGAUAGGCUAAACUCAUGAUUAUUAGAUUAAGAUCAUGAUAUGACAGGGUACAAGAUUGCGAUGUAAAUUAUUUUGGAGUUUUUUUGGGGGGCCCUUUUCUAGCCUAUAGGAAAGCUAGUAUUGCUCCUAAAUCAUGCUCUAGUUUGGACCAUGCUACAUAGCAUUCGAGCUAUCAUGUUCAUAAUUUGUUAGUGAUGAAGCCAUCCACAUGCCAAGAAACUUGUUACAACUUUGAGUAGAAAGACUCGUAUAGUUAUAUACCUUGCCUGAAGUUUCUUAUUUAGAGCCUACUUGAAAAUUCUCUUAUAUGGUUAACUUUCUUCGAGAAUUCACUUAGUUACAAAUUCUUUUAAUUUGAUAAAUGUUUCCUUAUUACUUAUAUGAGAUAAUUAACAAGGGAAAUUGUAUCUAAAAUAAUUUCAAAUUAGGCGAUCAUCGCUCUUUCCUUUGCUCUUCAUCGUUAGGCUAGCUGCCCAAUAAACAUCAGUUGAGCCUUUUCUGAGUCUAAAUGUUAUGUAGAUUAUUUAUCUCACCUCAGGAAUCCCUCCAAUAAAUGCUAAGAUAAUCAUCAAUAUACUGAUAACAAUACAGCACAACUACAAUUCUUCUUGUAAUUGGGAAAAAAAAAGAGAAAUGCUACUUUGGCACUAUGGAAAAGAAAAAAAAAAGGAUGCCAUAGCCAAAUAAAACCCAGUUGUUUCUCAAACAAGACCAUCCUGUACUCAUAGAAGCUGAAAUAAUCAUGUGUUAUCUUUCUUAAAACUCAACAGCAACCAAACAACAUCUUCAAGGAGGAAACUUUUUGUUUCUUAAUAAUAACAUAUCCAACAUUGUAGCAGAAAUGGGCAAUAUUGCUUCGCAAAUUAAAUAUCAUAUAUUCAAAGGCUGAACUCAUUGUACAGAACAAUCAGCAGCUCCCACACAUAAAUCUAAAUGCCUCAUAAAUUGGAAAUAUAUGACAAGUUUGUUCUACAUAUCUCCGCAACCAGUAUUAUUAGCCUAUUUUGCUAAUUAAAUAUGUCCUUACUCAACACAUAUAUGUAGUUCAUAGAACAAUUCCCUUACACUACUCUCAUCUCUCAAUCAUUUCUAGGCACUUAAUCCACUGAUAAAGAUAACUUCUCCACAUUGUUUGGCAACUCAUCUGAAUCAAUCUCUGUUGGUCCAUGCUUCUCACUUCCAUAGACAGAGGCCAAUGUUUUCGAGAGAAUAAGCAAGUGGCCAUGCUUAGAUACAUACAAGAAUCAGUAACUUGAAUCCUAUGUAUAUAGAUUAUCCUUAAUUUUACUGAAAUCUUCUGCAUCAAUGCCACCAAGUAAAGAAUUUUCCCUGGGAAACCUUCACGCAUGCUUCUCACAUGCCUUGAUGAUCUGAGAUAGCAGUUACUCGGGGCUCCAUCCCGGGCCAUGAGGUUGCUCUUGGUCCAAGAAGUCCAUGCCCGGGACAAUCAUUAUAAAUGAAACAUCUUGGCAACAGCAUCAUUCCCCUCAUUGCCAUUUGUAUGGCAGGACAUGGCAGUCGGUUAAUCUGGUCAGAACUUGGUAUCUUGCCACCAGCGCAGAAGUGGCCCCUUUGCAGAUGGUGUCAUCGACAAAUCAUCGAACACUUUCGAUGCAAUGGAGGGCAGUGAGGUCACCAUGGGAUAGGAGCGGCCUUCUGCAUCAUGAGAGGAAGAAAAUUCCGUAUGGGAUCUCUCGCAAGCCGCCGUUCUCUUGUUGGAAUCCGGCGGAUGCUCGUGCUCUAGGAAACCAAAGCACAUGUACCAUAAUUCCAAUUGCAAAUAUUACGAUCGGCCUAUGAUCAAUUUAAAUGAGCCCAUGCUGCUUUGGAAAACCAAAGCAUGGGCACCGUAAUUCAAAUUGCAAACAUUACGAUCAGCCCAUGAUCAGUUUAAAUGAACCCAUGCUGCAAUGUUUCCUAAUCUUUAUGGACCACAGGUCGAACCUACUCUAAUACAAUUUGAUAACAACUUAUAUUUUAUCUAAAAAGUUAGACGGAAGAUAUUUUUUAAAUCUUUUGGUCCCAUAUAAAUAUUUAGAUCUAUCUAUUACAUAGCCAAUGUAAGACUAGAUAUACAUUUGAGUAGGAUCUGGUUGCAAUGAAAAUUAAAUUGAUAGACUCAAGCAAAAAUUUUUGAAAUGCAAGAGAUAUAUAUACAACAAGGGCCUAGCUGAGAUGGAAAAAAUAAUGAUUUUUUGUUUUAUAAAGUGUAGUGGUAAAGAAAAAUGAACAUAGUUUUCUUUCAAUAGAAGAUAAAUUUAAAAUUAAAAACAAACAUUGGCACUAAUAAAAUCAUAAAUUUGACUAGUGCAAAUAAUGGUAACCCAUCUCUCUCUUUUUUGGUUGAUUUAUAAUACAGAAUGUACAACCAUUUUCUUUAUAUUAUUUUGACUAUUUAAGCCAAAUUAAUUGUCUUAUGGUAAAUCAUGAAUGGAGAUAUCAAUGGGGCAGAUUUGGUAUGAUUAGGAAAAAAAUUGAAACCAAAAUUCACUACUGUCCUCCAAAUUUGAAAUUGAAACCAAACAGGUUUUGAAAUAACAAAUGAUAGUCACCAUCGAAAAAACUACAAAAUCAAUGUCGAAACCGAAAAACUAAAAACCGUUAAAUUUUUUAUUUAAUUUAAAUUUUUCAUAUAUAAAUAACUAAAUUAAAGAUAUCAUCCAUAAUUUUUAUAAUAUAAUUUAUACCAAUUCAUCAAAUAAAUAUAUUUAAAAAUAACAACACAACCAUUCUCAUGAAGCUAGUAAUUUAGAUUUAUACUAAAUAUAAUGGAUGUUAUAGAUAUUAUAAAAUGGGUAUGUUCCAUUUUGGGGUAGGCUUCGAGUUCAGUGUCAGAUUUGGUUUCAGGUUGGGGAUUAAUCAAAAUCGUAACCAAAAUCGAAAUCGAAAUUUUUUUCAUAUUAACAAAUUCAGUUUCGAGUUUGGUGUCAGAAUUGGUUUCAGAUUUGGCUAACAUUUUUUAGAUAAGAUUCAAAGUUAUGAUAAAUAGUAUCAGAAUGAGCCCAACUCAUGAUCCAUAUGAACUAGGAGACACUGCAGUACGAGUUCAUUUGAAUUGACCAUAGAUUGAUUGCAGUAAUUGUGAUUGGAUUUAAAUGGAUUUAAAUAAUGAAAAAUAUAAAUGGGGGUGUACUAGAGCACUCGUGCGAGUAUGUGUUUAAUUCUAUAUUAGAUAGACACUGAAUAAAUUUUAGAUAUUUAUAUAGAAUUAAAAAAUUCAAAUAAUAUUUUUUUGCUAUUUUGGAUAAAAAUUUUAGUCUCUGAUAUAGAAGGUGGCAGGGAAGUCUCUCUCAAUCCCUUGAGGGGAGCAUUCGAAAUGCUGGAAUAUCUUGCACUUGGUUUGAGAAGUCCACUCAAAGAUUUUUAAAUGCUAUUGAUUUGUUCUGACAUUCUCCAAAUGCACUUCAGUGGAGAGUGACAGGAAACUAAUCUCUUGCCAAAUAUAAAAUAUUAGCGAAUGGAAGACACUAAUCUUCCGUGUCAUGAGAGCCGGGAUUCGAGGAGGACAAGCAAAUGCCUUGAAGAAAGAUAAUGGAGCCAUGAAAACGCUAGCAGUGGGGUCUUUGGGGCUUUUGGUCGCACGACGCUGGAUUCCGAUACUUUAAAAUGAAUCUCUAUUAGGAAUGAGUGGACAACCCAUAUCAUCUAUGAUGCAUGAUUUGCAAAAUAUUGUAUAGCAUUUGAUGAUUGUCGUUAAAAAUGUAAGAAAAUAUAAAAUAUAUAAAUAAAUUUAUUUCAUUCUAUUAGCUUAAGCUUUUCGGACAAGUGAUAAUUUCAACAUACUAUCAGAGUAGAGGUCCUGAAUUUGAACCUUGUCUCCAUACUUUUUAAUCUCAUAAUUAAAAAAAUUCACAUGUUGGGCUCACCAAUUAAAGAAAAGUCCGGCCCACAUGUGAGGAGGAGUCUAAGAAUAUAUAACAUAUAUAAUAAAUCUACUUCAUUCUAUUAGUUUAAGCUUUUCGAACAAGUAGUAAUUUCAACAAGAAAAUGGACGAUUAUCAAUAGCAAUGUGUCAUGUAGGGCACAUAGGACGAUCUUAUUUGAUAGCUGUCCAUUAUAGUUAGCAUUUCCAUGCUUGGAACACACCAAACUCAUCCAAAUGACAUGACUUCAGCUAAAGUUAGUUCCUGACAGGUGAAUUCUAGUAAUUUUUGAUAUGAAAUUAUUAAUCAACUUCGAAUUUGUCUAAAAUAAAUAAAUUUGGAUUUUUUUUUGAAUAAUUAGACUGAUCCAAAAUUGGUUGAGACCAACUCAACUGUACUUGCAUCAUGCUUGGGUUUAGCCCUUCAAUCUAAUAGGUCAUCAUGGGUUGAUGUUGAAGAAAUUCUUAAAAUCUAUUUCCAAACUUUUAACUAGUGACAAUUAUGUAGCUGGAGGAAAAUAAUAUAAUUAAUGGUUAAGAGAUAAAGAAAAUCAAUAAAAUAUAAUGAAGAAAAAGGAGGAAGGAAUAAUAUUUUAGGAACGAUUUUUUCUUUCUCAAUAUUAAUUACUCAUCUUCCUUUUGCCAUUCAUUAGGAUGCCUCAUUUGAUUGUAUUCAAUUUUACUUACUAAAAUCUACAAAUAAAAUGUAAAGCACAAAUUAGAUUCAUAUGCCGUGUACGAGUCCACAUAAAAUACAUGAGUUAGAUAUAAACUUAUUCCUUUUUUCACAAUUUUAAGAGACUAAGUAUAGGUUUAGAAUUUUUUGAACCAACCAAAUCUAACCAAACCCUUUGCCAACCCUAGUUUCUUCCCCAAACUAUUAGCCACCCAUUGCCAUAGAUCCCAUUUAAAGUAUAUAUUAACUACUAUUUUUCUGUGAGAGUAGGUCCUCUUGUAUCUAUUAAGUUUGUUAGAAUCAUAUACAAUCUCAUCCAUUAUAGUAUACAUGAUCUUAAAUAUUAUACUGCUACAAAUUCUAUAUACGAUUUUGGAAUCUGGUUGUUAUAUUCAAAUUUAGCACAUGUACCAAAUUAUAAAAUUUUACUAUUGUAUUAUAAUAUAUAUGAUUCCUAGUAUCUUUACCAUAAUCAUAGAGUUUUGCUGGUAUAUUCUAUUAUAUCCAGUCUCCAAAGUCAAGGAGCUCAACUUGCAUAUAAAGCGCACCAAUACCAUGAACAUCACAAGCAAUUCAAAUAUCAUUUCCAAUACAUAUUUUUCAAUGUCAUUUUGCUAAAAGCAUAUUUAACCAGCAAAUAUAUUUUAAUAACAAAAAAAACUUCAAUUUUGGGAGGCCAAAGGGAACAAGACAGCAUCAAGUUCAGAUUGAAUAUCUAUGCUCUUCAAAAGCCAACUAAAUUGACCCAUUUAUCUAGUUGAAGCCCAGCAAUAAUCAAUUGUUCUUUAGUUAUGUGCUCAUACGUGCGUUAGAGGGAGGGAGAGUUCUGUAAAAGAAGUGAAAUGCCACAAGGUGGUAGCUCAGUAAAACUGGACCUUACUUCCAACUAAGUAGUUUCGAGUUCGAAACGCACGGACGUCAAUUAAAUUAUGGAGGCCGGAUGCUUCCUGCUCGAACACGUAGUUUGGGAGGCUUAUUGGUCCACUGAUAGUCUUGGUGGUGCUAGGUGUGACGUACUCAUAUGGAGGGUAACCGUGCCAGAGCCCAGAGGGAUAACGAGCCGGGCCCAUGGGUGAAGAGGGUAUGAGUAAAACCGGUAGGCAUGCCCAACACACGGUCAUUUAUGCCCGCAUCGAACAUUUUCCUGGCGGGAUGGGGGUCCAGUGGAGGCUGCUACGUGGGGGUAGGCUUGUCCCUUCCUCCUUCUUCUCCUUUUUCCAAAGCAAAAAAAAAAAAAAAAAUUGAAAUGGAGCACCUCACCAUUAUCCUCUCGUACUCACGAGAAAGAUGGGGGACGGUGGCAGCCCCUGAGUCAUAAUUCCAAUUCACAACCCCACGCUGCCUCGCUCCUUUGCAGAGAAAGUGAAGGUGCAUCCGAGGAAGAUUUUUUUGCUUUACACCUAAAAGUAAGAUCUCAGAGCUCUUUUUUGGGUGGCUUUUCUCUCCCUUCUUAUAAAAAUAUAAAUAGAAUCCUAUAGUUUUAUGGAUGGCCAAAAGCCAAAUCUUUAUGGGCAUGAGGUGAUGGGCAAAGGAAUUGCCGGUUCUUAGUUGAAAAGCAAACGAGGGAAAGAUGAAAAAGAAAGCACAGUGACAGCCCACUCUAGUGCUCUAUCCAAUCUUUGUUGAUUGAAAGUACCCAAUGAUGGCAUAUAAGAAUCAGUCCUCCAGAAAGACUAUCAAUUCAAGGAUACACAGGCUGCGCAUGAGUCACCAGAACAAGGAGAGGGGCACCAACAAGUGCUCAACUUGAAAAGACUUUGGUUAUGCAAUCUAGAUGUAGCUAGAACAGACCCAUUUACUAUUGGAAGAACUAUAAUAUAUAUUUAUGUCUUGCACCUCAACUCUACUUUUCUGAACCAUCUUAGUUGAGGUUUAGUUUAACCUUUUCUUCUUUAUUGGACUUGAAAUGGAUAGUAAAGACUGACUCAGCUCAAAAAAGUGUGAUCUAGGCUUGAGAUUCACAUUCAAUUCAUGGGUGUGAGGACACGGCAUAUGUUUAGUUCCACAUCGGCUAUAUACUUGAUUGAUACCACAGAAUUCCAAUAAUACUUCUGGCUAGUAUUUUUUUUAUAUGAGAUUUUAGUUGUGACAAAUAGUAUUAGAGCAGAUCUGAUUCAUAGCUUAUAUAGACUAGGAGACACUACAGCACGAGCUUAUUUUGGUUGUCUAUGAGCUGAUUGUGAUAUCUAUGAUUGGACUUGUGGUACUUAUGAAAAUUUUCACUUAAGAGAGAAGAAUGACAACAAUUGGGCUACUUUCCCAAUGGCUUCCGAAUCCACUUAUUAUUCUUGGGAAAGAAAAGGGGAAAAGAAAAAAUUGCACCAGGAACAUAAGCAUGAUGCAUUCACAUUUGGGCUAUAAGUCAUAAAGUUGCAACCCAGCUAAAUGUUUCUCAAGGGCUACGAGACAUCAUGAGUGAGUUGACCUGAAGCUCUGACGAAAAAAAAACUUGCAACCCAUCUAAUAAAAUUGGUGGCUAAUCACUGGAUCUUAAAACUCAAGUUAAUAGAAAAUGGGUCAAUAAUAUAUGCUAUAUGCUAUGGUUGAUGUACCUUCUAGUGUGCAGCUUAAACUCUACUUGUGAAGAGAUAAAUGACUCAAAACAUGGGAUGAGUCAAUAUGACAACUGGAUUUAUCAUCUCAUAAAUAAUAUAGAUUUUGCAUAAAAAAUACUUAACUUUGGUUCUUUUUUCAAAAGUAGGUUUCUGGGGCCUGAUGAUUUUGUUCUUUAAUCUAAGUACAAGAGUAGAUGGUAGUUGAAACAUAUGUUCAUUGAGUAUUGAAAAUAUAUGUAUCAAACACCUAAUAAAUGUAUAACAGAUGUCCAAUAAAUGUGUAUCACACAAUCAUUCUUAAAUCUAGGGGCAAAACCAUCUAGAGAAGUAAUCAUUUUGCCCAAAAUAAAAAAAAAGAAUCUCGCAAAAGCAAUAAUUAAGCAGAUUUUAUUUGUAAAUUCACUUAUAUAAUUAAUUUGUAGGGGAUUUGAAGUCAUGAUCCCCAAUAAACUUGAUUUUGGUACCAUACAAAACUAGCUCCUGCUAAGCUGACAGAAAAUAAAUCAGUAAGAUAUAUCAAACUUAACAAUUAUAUGAUCGAAGAAAACCAUCAAGAUUGAAGUGUGAUGCAUUUGAUGAAGGAUUGUAAAAUUCAACAAGUAUUUCUUAUUGUUCAUCAACUGGUGAAAACUAUAGAGGUUUAUCUAGUAGAUCUCUAUAUAUAAUGGGAGAGAGAGCAAGUUUGAAUUCACCCAAACCAAAAACACCUUAAAAAAUGCUAGUUUUUUUUUCAUUUUCUUAUGCAUUAAGUGCUCAUAAGUAUGUUUUUAUUGGUUUAUGUAUCGUUCGGGGGAGGCGUGGGGUGGUGGAUGUCAACAUAUUUGCCAGAAAAUCUAAAGUUUUAGGCAUUGAUUGAACAUCUUUCCAUAAUAUAGGGUCCACUUAAGACUCCACAAAUAAGCCACAAAUUGGUAAUCAUUGACAUACUUGUAUUUAUCAUUGCCAGAUAUACUCUAGAGAGAGACACCUUCAAUAAAAUAUACUACAUCAUAUUGAAGGACCAAAAACACUUAGAUUGCAGAAACAUAACCGAGAUGCCCUAUCCGAAAGAUCUAACAAGAGGUCAGCAGAUACAUUAUAUGUGAGAAGCAACAUGAAUGGUUAUCUUCAAAUAAAAUUGUUCUUAUUUAUAUAAUUAGAUAAUUUUAUAUUUAAUUUCAAGAGGUGCACUUCUUUGGUUUUUUUUCCUAGGAGCAAAAUCGAAUCUUAAGCAGUGAAUAAUAGAGUAUGGCUUGUUGGAAUCUUAAGAACGACACUCUAGAGUUUAGAUGUAAUAUUAGAACAGUCAAUUUGGUUAGGAACGGGAGAGCAAACAUGACAUCAAGAAAAGCAAUAAGCAAUAGGAUCUUUUUUUUUUUUGUGUCCAAUGGAAAGUGAGAUCCUUCCAUUCUGAAACAAAUUAUUUAACCACAUAGAUUGGUAUGGCUGGAACCAAUUAUUGACUUCGGAUUUGAGGGGACUCACUGUUCCAAGUCCGGGAAACGUGCCAAGUGUUUACGUUGGGGCGAGGUAACCCCCAUAACUUUUCAGUCACUUCGAUGUGAUUUUUUUCUUUUGUUUCAAGCUCGCACUUCUAUGACGUUGCCCAUUUGAUUAGACUAAAUCGCUUAAAAAUGAAUGAUAGAAAAUUUAAUAAUUUAAAGCAACUUUUAAUGAUUACUUAGAAAACUACGCGUAGAUGGCCGCAUAUGAACGCAUGCAAAGUGCACGGCUCUCUUUUUCCUGACAAGCAUGCACUUAAAAGCCCACACACGUCACCAAGGCAAUCAUUUUUCUUUUUUUUCUUUUUUUUUUUGUUUUCGAGGGCUGAAGAAUAUAGUUUUCCUUCUCCCUACUUGACCUACUUGUAAAGCUAAUUUGUUUGUUUUUGUUUAAUUUUUCCUUAAACACAUUGUUUGAUAUUCUCAAGAGAGUUAGGCAUCUAGUCACCAUCCAAGAGUGUUUAGAAUGAAAAAAUUUGAGUUCAAAAAGAAAUAUUUGAAGGCAUGCAUGACGAGGCCCAGAAUAAUGCGAUGCAGAUGGAUGGGAUCGUGGCGAUAGUAUAAGCGAAGACAAAAUGAAGUGCAUCAUCCAUUAUAAUGCAAAUUGGUGAUGGUAGUGCUGUAAUGCUAAUCUAAAAUGCAAGCUGUAGUGACAAGUCAUGCACAAUCUCAAAAGUAUUCAAGCAAAUGCUGGAUGAAUGAACACCAUUAAAAUUUCUUCCACCAAGUUUUGCUUGAAAAAAAAAAGGAGUAGAUGUUAGCUUCAAUAUUCAUGUAGUCUCUAAUCAAUUAGGAAGAAUUAUUUUUUAUAAUGAAUGAAUUAUACAUCAAACUAACUUUUCGACUAAUUCAUCACCAUAGAAGUAGAAUUUUCCAUCAACAAAUAAAUCUACAUCCGACACUUUCUAGUGUAUAUACCAACGCUUAUUCGCAUCAAUAGUUUUAUUUCCGAUGCUUUCUAAAGCAUUAUAAAAGCAUGUGAACGUCAAAAAUCUUUUGAAAGUAUCACUACUGACCGACCCUUAUUAGCAUUGCUGAUCAAUGAUGCUACAAUAAAACAUAUGCCGCAAUCAAACACAUACAUGUCUACACUAACUAAUAAAAAUUCUAUAAUAACACAUACCGCAAUCAAACAGAUUAUUCAAAAUAUCCAUAUUAUCAUAUAUGAUUAUUUUAUAUUAUCGAUUUACAUUUACAAUAUAUUUUUAAAAAAUAUAAAAAAUAUUAUCAGUUUACUUUUAAUUUUUUUGUAGUGAGUUUUAUGACACCAACUACCAAAACAUCCAUCAUGCGGCAUAGUAAUCUCUCAAUCAUGGAAGAAUGAAGGCCAUGUCCAUAUUUAGAGGAGCCCCCACCUUUCAUUGCAAUCAACCAUAGCAACAAAGUUAGGUGGUGGUCCGGUGAGCCCGGGGACCCAAACAAAUAAAUGAGACAAGGCUUUGUCAUGCGCCGAAGUCCCCCACUCUGAAGGGCUGCCACGUCCACGACAAGGACACCAAGCCGAAAGCACAAUUGUUACAUACGACAGGUGGAGGCCUCUCACGAACGAGACAUGUGGGGUCCAUGGUUCAUAAGUUCUCAAUAAUGGGAUCCGAAAGUCAAACUAAAUGGAAUGAGAGAGAGAGACCCCAACCUACAAGUUGUAGAAUAGAUAAUUAGCAACUUUAAUUUUUAGCAUAUCCUAAUACUCAUACUAAAUGCGAUUAAUACUUAAUAGGCAGGAUAAUAUGAUGUGAAAGCAUAUGAUAAGUUAAAGUUGCUCUUUAUUCAAGUUGCACAUAUUUAUAUAUAAAUUAAUAAUACAGCUGGUUAGAUUGCAUCUUCUAUAGUCAAUAAUAUCAGAUCUAUAUUAUAAAUUUUUUCGAUAAAUAUUUUAUUUUUUGAUUUUUAUAGGCGUAAAUCAUGUACACGAAUAUUUGUAGAACGUUAUUCCUACUCAUAAUUAAUUAAAUAUUAACAUGGUCUAUUUUUAUAGAUAGUGUAUAAGUGGGGCUCUUCUUUGUUCUACAUAAAUUUGGACCAUUAAAAUACAGGGCUUUAAUUAUGGAAACAAAUUAAAACGAAUGAAGAUUUAUCGUAUUUUGUCCAAGGCUUUAAUUUAGAUGUGGCUGCAACUUUGUUCAGCUAAUUAAUCCUAAAGCAAAGUAAGCUAUUAAUUUUUGGAUUAGAAAAGUUAGCUAUGUUUCUAGAGAUACAACUAAAGUGUUGGAUAUUCUUUUGGGUGUUCAUUUUGUAAAGCUCGCAUCAUGGUUUGAUUGUUCUUGGAUCAAAACUAAGUUCGUGUUUUUAAUAUGGCAUCAAAAUGGAGUUUGAGUCUAGUUAGGAAAAAGAAUAUUUUGUGAGAAGGGCUUCCGAGUCUGGUUAGCCUCUUUGUCAUGAUUCCAUAUAACGGGCCUCACCCGAUUUUCGGCCCAUGUUCCUAGAUAUCCAUGAUCAAUGUUGGCCCUCUCACAUUGGAUCUACCCUAUGGAUGAUUGUGAUAUAUAUUCCUUCUGAAUUGUCACAAAUUUUAUUUUCUGAUGCCUGCAGAUGUAUUUACUCUAGAUUGGUUUAAUAAAUUUAGUUUGCACAAAAAAAAGGAAUCGACCUGCGUAAAUUUGUGAGAGAGAAGGCCCAUAUGGCAACCGACAAUCUCAAUGCUUCUCUCUUGUCAGAAAAUUUGGCAUUGAGGACAAAAACUAUUCCAGUGGUGAAUAAUUACAAAAAAUAAAUAAAUAAAUAAAUAAAUAAAUAAAUAAAAAUUGUAGGAGAAGUGAUGAGGUGAAAAAUGGAAUAGAAUUAGGCAGAUUCCACGAUAUAUAAUAUUCACUUUCGUGUUGUAUUAUCCUCUAAAAGAUCUUUUUCAUACCUAUCAAUGUCUCGGCUUUGGAACCCCAUUGGUGGAUGCUUGUUUUGGUAGCCCUAAAAUUGGAGAGCUAAUUGAUAGCAUGAUUGGUUUUGCGGUAAAUAUAAGAGAAUCAAAAUGCUCAUAUUUCUUGCGUAGCAAUCUAUAUAUCCAAAAAUGAAGAUGCUAAGAUGCUUUAUCCAACAUAUUUAUAUGGAGGAAUUGCACUCCGAUAUGGGUACAUUUGAAAUUAAAUACUUGUCGACAAUCUUAUAACAAAUGGUAGGAAUCUACCACUUAGAAACAAUAUUUCAAAUAAUAGUAGUUACAAUUUUAUAACGGUUGUUAUAACAGUUUCAGGUCCUCUCCAUUACAUUAUAUAAAUAACAAUGGAGAAAACAUAACAAACAUUAUAAAAUGAUAUUUAGUAUUAUAACGGUCUGUUAUAAUAUAAAUAUUCAUUAUUUUUAUUUUGUAUUGUUUUUUUCUAAAUAAAAUUCUAUUUUCUUUCCAAUUUCAUUUUUUUUGCAACAAUUUUUUCUUUAAAAGAGAUUAUACAGCCUUUUGAAAAAAAUACAUUUUAACAAGCGAACCAGAGAAAUAGCACUACUAUUUUCCCAUUGUAGCUGGCCCUUUUUCAAAAUUAUAAUGCCAUUUAGCAUCAAUUGUUUUAAUACUGAAUAUUGAAAUAGUAUGUCUCAAGCCAAAAAAAAGCCAUUAUAAAUGUUAUAAAGGUAAACAGUAGUUUCAAUGGGCCGGGGGUCCUUUAUCAUGGUAUAACAUCAUUAUUAAAACCAUGGUUGCAAAUCAACUAUUCCUUGAACAAGUAGUUUGUCUACCCUCCUAUACCUUCAUCAUUGGCUGCUAGCCAUAAUUUGAGUUGCAUUUGAAUUCUCCAUCAACAGAAGAGAUGGAGCAAAGUAGAGAGAGCUGAGCUGAGAAACGCAGAAUGGCUGGGGAAGCUUUAGAGGUUGGACUUGAUGGCAAUGAAAGUAGAGAGGAUGAAAUGGAAGCUCAUUCUCGGAGGAGCAUUUUCCUCUCUCUCACUCACUCACUCACUGUCUCUAACUCAAACAUGCAAACAGAAGGAACAAAGAUCUGGUUCUAUCCCUUCUCAAAUAUAUGGUCAUAUUUCAAAUGUACAACAAUAAAGAUAAUAAAAAAUUUAUCAUAGCAAUUUUACUGAAAAUAAAAGUUCAGCUUGGUUUCAGGAUAUCUAGGGACAAGAAUGUCGGUCGACUAAAGAGUUACAUAUGCUAUGUAUUAAUUGAACAUAGGUGCCAUUUAAGUAAGUUGGGUGGUGCUAACUAAUACAAGUUUUCAAGUGAUAUAGCACAAAUAGAAAGCAAAGUAAUCAAAUAAUUGAACUAGAAACUAAAAAGAAAAAUAUAGAAUUAGACUAGAAGAUAAAGGCAGCUCGAAAGGAAUUAAAGGCUCACGAAGAUAACUAGUAGCUAUACCUUACUAUCAAAGUUUUCUUGUCGAUGCUUGUAAUCUACCAAUGAUCUUGAAGAAAAUUGUAAUUUGUUAGACUCCACUUCAUCACCAUCAAAUUUUCAUGGAAUCCACUUGGGUUAGCUCUAGAAUCCACCAAAGCACAAGAAGAAUCCUCCAUACAAAAGAUAGAGAUAGCAAGUGCAAUCAAAAGAAUAUAUUUUUAUCUAUUAAGAUUUGAAUACAUAGAGAGGGCAUUUAUAGUUUUUAUGGUUCCCUUUUUUAGGUAAAAUAAGGAGGCUCAAUGCAUCCAGUAAAAAAAUCAUUAACUUCUAUUAUGAGCACCCUAGCAUAGGGUUUGUUAUUUUAGACUUGUAACUAGCCUCAAAAUUAGACUAGGACUCGAAGUAUAUCAAAAAUAUUAAAACUUCGAGAACUAAUCUUGCACCUUAAGGAUGUUUCAGGAUACAAAAACUCCUAUGAUAAUUAUUACACCUUAUAUUGAACUAAUUAUAGUCUAAUUGCUGCUACACAAGCUCGUAGCUUAACAUGAUUGAAAUCUUUCUAAAACUAAGGUUUUUACUAUCAAAAAAUGAUCUAAAGAUAAGGGUAGUACCAUCGCUUUACAUACUGAUUGACCCUUACUAUUGGCUCACAGGCUUGAAUUAAAUUGGCAUUAUUGCAAUACAAAAACUAAUCUAAUGAUAAUUGUUCCGCCUUAUAUUGAACUAAUUAUAGUCUAAUUACCACUAGACAACGUCGUAGCACAACAUGAUUGAAAUCUUUCUAAAACCAAGUUUUUACUAUCAAAAAAUGAUAUAAAGAUAAGGGUAUUACCAUCGCUUUACAUAUUGGCUGACCCUUAUUAUUGGCUCACAAGCUUGAAUUAAAUUGGAAUUACUGCAAUAUUUUGACCAUUAUAACUUUCUCAUCUAAUCUUUAUUUGAGGUGAUUCAAACUACAUUUAAAAGUUAAUUUGAUACUAAUGUAAUGGAAUAGUUUGAGCUUCAAAUUCCAUCUUUGCUGAUUGUGAUAGUCAUCUUUUGGAUUGAUAUACACUAGACUAUUCCUAACACAACAUGACCUUUAUUUAUUUACUUUUACAAAAUUAAUUGAACCCAUUUAACACUUGUUAUCAAGUGUCAUCACAUAUCCUGCCUUUAUUUGGUUUUAAAAUGGUCUAGAAGCUGUUUGGGAGUCUUGUGAUGGUGAUAGGUGCAGAUCUUGCCUGCAUCACAAUACCUAGGAAUCGGUAGGGCAUACUUAAUAAGUUCCUAUUCUUUUUAGGAGCAUGUAAGUUAAGCCACAUCUUGUAAUACAUGUAGUUUGAUUGAAUUACAAAGUACUAUGUACUGCCUAAUGAAAUUUUUGGGUGACUAGUUGAUGCCUUGUAACAAAGUGUUUGUAUUUCUGACAAAUAAAAUAUAAUUAUAUGACUACAAUCAACAUGGAUUAGGUCCUUGAAAAUCUUGGGAUAACAAUCAUUCCAAAGAGCAAAGUGAUAGAUCAUGGCACAUUUAGAGAGCUAAUAAGCCACUGAGUUUGAGGAGGAAGCAUACAAAUUUGGCAUGAGCAAAGGAGGGAGAUGGAUGGCAAAUCAGUAGUAGUGAGGUUAGAGGGGAUGAGUGGAGCCAUGCACCAAUACAAAAAGAGGUGAAUAUCUUUUGGGCACAAUCUAUAACACCUAUGGAGGAGGGUAAGACUAGCAAGAAAAAUUCAGGGAGAAACUUGUAAUCCCUAUCCAACAAUGAAGAGNNNNNNNNNNNNNNNNNNNNNNNNNNNNNNNNNNNNNNNNNNNNNNNNNNNNNNNNNNNNNNNNNNNNNNNNNNNNNNNNNNNNNNNNNNNNNNNNNNNNNNNNNNNNNNNNNNNNNNNNNNNNNNNNNNNNNNNNNNNNNNNNNNNNNNNNNNNNNNNNNNNNNNNNNNNNNNNNNNNNNNNNNNNNNNNNNNNNNNNNNNNNNNNNNNNNNNNNNNNNNNNNNNNNNNNNNNNNNNNNNNNNNNNNNNNNNNNNNNNNNNNNUAUUAUAAUAAAAUACAUUACUAGUAUAAUGUAUAGUUUUAUAUUUUAGAUUAUAUGUUUUUAUAUUAUUGGUUAGAAUUGAUGUUGUAAUAACGCAUUAAUAAUAUAAUAUAUUAUAUAGUAUAUUAUUAUACUUUGAUAUGGUAAUAUAUACUAAAAUAUAUAAUGAUAUUAUAGUAUAUGAAAUUACUAAAAUGUGUAAUAUUAUUAUAGAAUAAUAUAUAAUAUUAUAAUUUCACAUUAAUUAUCAUAUCAUAGAUAUUGCUAUAUAAAAUAUAAUAUAACAAUACAAUAAUAAUGCACUCUUAAUUACUCUAACUAUUACCAUAAUAAUGAUUCUUACAUUAUAUAUUAAUAAAUUUUACAAUAUAAUAGCAUAUAGUAUAUAGAAUAUUAAUAUGUAAUAUAUAAUAUUAAAGAAAUUAAGAUCAAUAGUUGGAUAUCUAGUGGUCAAAUAUAAUGAAAAACAAACAAUCCAUUGCUUUCAUGGAGCAGCUUAUCAAAUCAUUUGCAACACUAUAUAAUCAAACAACUUCAAAUAUAUGUGCAAUUAUUAAUUACAAACAACCAGCCAAAAAUACAAAUGUAACAUUUCGACUUGUCAUUAGUCAUGUUACAAGUAACUGAAAUCGCAAGCAAUCAAACAAACACUAAGUUGGAUCGGAAAAAACUAAGUUAAGUCAUAUCAUCAAAUAUAUAUUGACCCAUUUUAGACCUAGUUAGUAGUGGCAGAGACAAGAGGAGAAUACAAUUGCCGACUCCACAUGCUCAAUGAUGCAUCCUUUGCAUCAUAUAGAGUAGUGCAUGACAAAAAAAAAAAAAAACGAACUAUGCCCAAUGAAAAAAAUGUCAUCUAUAUUUCUUUGAAUUGCCGGGCUAAAAAGUUACCCUGCAUGAUGGAAGCCAUGAGCCUCUCAACUCCACAGUCAUCUCACCUCCAUCAUAAUAUCCACAUUUAUCUAAAAUCCUCAUUGCUAUCAAUUGGAAUUUAAAAGAAGAGGAGGAAGGGGAACAAGAAGAGAAGAGGAAGAAAUCUGUCAGAGGAAAGAGUAAAAAAAAGAAGAAUAACAGUUUGUCCUUUAACACUCCUUGUAACUGUUCAUAUUCUCAAAAUUUUAUUGUUAUAAUUUGCUAUUUGUGCUUUUUGGUGUAUAUUGUCAUAUGCCAAAUGAUCCAAAGACGACAUGCUUAAUUUUAACAAAGGGCAUGAUUGAAUGAACAUGUAUAAAUCUUUUUAAUAGGCAUGAUAGACAAUAUUAUCCGUAAUUAUAAAUACCAAAAAGUAUGCAUUUGUUAUAUGUAUAUAAGAUUAGACUUUAUGUCUUAUUGUCAAUUAAUAUAGUCUAUGAUUUCACUUUCUAAGUGUUUGUUUCAAUUAAGUUGUUAUUUCAUCUAAAUUUUUAAAUAUUCUCUUUAAAAAGAUCGCAUCUUACAUAAUCCAAGUUCAAAGGGAAAAAAAACAUGUUCAAAGAAGCACUUACCAAUAACAACGCUAAUUUCGCAACCCCUCGUGCUAAUUCUCAUGGCUCCUUCACUUUUACUUAAUACAAAGGUGGAAUUAGAUACUUGAUUGAGUAGGAAAAAAAUUGAUCAAGGUCUAAUCCCUUUUUAAACGAAUCAACUUUCAAGUCCAAAUUUCAAUCAAAUCAGAGCUUACUCGGUCGGGAUUGGGUUGGAUCAUGGGUCGAUCGAACAUAAUUACAGCACCAACAAAAGUUAAAUCUUGGAUUAUAAAACAGAGGUCUUAGGGGAGUAUGCGACAACGGCAGAUCUAGCUCCAAUGCACCCACACUUCUCUCACUUCGUUUAUUAGUUCUCUUAGCUCCCCCAAUUUCCGUUAUUUAUGUUGCGGUCCCCCCAUUGACUACAGCGUAAUGAAAACUCCCUCUUAACCGAAGGAUAUAUUUCUCAUCUAUAGAAUAUUUUAUUUGUAACUUGCGGUCCUACGUAGGGGUGGCAAAAUAUGAUCCAACCCGCCAAUUCGACCCGUGUUCGACCCGCCAUAAACAGAUUUGGGUUUGGCCUAAAUAGAUUCGGGUCGUAAACAUGUCGAUCCGUUUAACCUGUUUAUUAAUUGGGUCGGAUACAGGUUUUAGAUGUCUGACCCGUUUAACCCGUUUAACUGUUGGCAGGUUAAACAGGUCUAAACUGGUUAAACGGGUUAAACAUGUUAAACAGGUCUAAACAGGUUAAACGGAUCUAAACAGGUCUAAACAGGUCGGAUUGGGCAGGUUAAACAGGUUGGGUUGGGCAGGUUAAACAGGUCCAAACAGGUUAAACGGGUCAGGUUGGGCAAACAGGUUAAACAGGUCGGGUCGGAUUGGGUAAACAGGUUACCUGUUUAUUAAACAUGUUAAACGAGUCGGGUCGGGUUAUCUGUUUAAUAAACAGGUCAGGUUCAGGUUGUAAUUUCUGACAUGUUUAAUAAACAGGUCGGGUUCAGGUUUAUGAUUUUCUGACCCGACCUGCAUGUGACCUGACCCAUUUAUGAUCCGACCCGACCCGAUUGCCACCCCUAGUCCUACGACCGUAUCUUUAAAGUGAAAAUGCCAAGAAUACCCCCAUUGAGCACCUCAUCCAGGCGAUUUUUUUUUCUAUCGAGCGUCCCAUCAAAGUAAUUCAUUUUUUUUCACUCAGUGCAGAAAAGCCAAACAAAAUAAAAUUAUUUGGUACUUGGUGGUAGACAAUUCCAAAGAAUCAUCAUGCGGCGUUCAGGUUUUUUCUUAUCCCUUGGAAACCCACCCCCUGGCCACUUUAAGGUGAAUUUCGACGGAAGCUUGCCCUCUGGGGACGAGAGUGUGGGAGUGGCAUUUGUGAUCAAAGACCACUGCUCCAGGUUGCUUGCUGUGGGGGGAUGUCAUUCCUUCGAGGAUUCAGUGUUUGGGAUGGAGCUCAGGGCUGCAUGGGAGGGGCUUUUAUAUGCGAGAUAUGUACUUGAUGCCGGUUGUAUCAUAUUGGAAGGAGACUCAGUCGUGUUGAUUGAGUACUUACGGGAGGAAGGGCAGGGGGAGGUUGAGCACCCGGUCCUAGGAGACAUAUGAUGUAUGUUGCGGGAGUGCCGUGUUGCCCAGGUCAGGCACGUCUUUCGGAAGGCGAACCAAACUGCGAAUUAGGUCACCUCAUUUGUUGCUCAUCAUUCUAGAGAUUUUCUAUAGAUCCAGCAGUCCUCUGUUCCUUCUAGUUUAUAUAGUCUUAUUAAUAGUGAUGCAGCUGGCUAUGCUCAUGCGAGAGCAGUGUGAGCAGCCGAUGUAACCAAAAAAAAAAAGAAAUCAUCAUAUGCAUCAUAGUCGAUUCUUUUAGAUGAUUGUGUAGCAAGCUCCAUCAAGAGAGCAGAAAAUAGGAGUAGAACUAAAAGGAUGCAUCAAAUGUUGAUAAAAAGUAAUACAUGGAUCCAGAAGAUUCAUUUUUUUCUCGUCAAGCAUCCCAUCCAAGUAAUUCAUAUUUUUUACUCAAUGCAGAAAAACGAAAAAAAAGUUACUUGGUGCUUGAUGGUAGACAAUUCCACAGAAUCACCGUGUGCAUCAUGGUUGAUUUCUUUAAAUGACUCUGCAGCAAACUCCAUCAAGAGAGCAAAACUAAGAGGACACAUCAAAUAUUGAUAAAAAGUAAAACAUGGAAUAGCAAAGUUAGCAGGUAUAUAUUGUUAUAAUGAACCCUGUUUUUCUUUUAAAAGGUACACAUACAUGAUCCUAGCCAAGCCAUGCUUGCUACAAACAAUGAGCCAAAGAGCUUACUAAACACUAAUUGAAAUUAAAGAUUAUAAAUGUAAUUGCAAAUACUUGAUUGCACUUUAUUUGCAUAAAUACCUCACUCUCCAUGACAUAAAUUACUCAUGCCCAACUCGAUGAAAUUGUAACAAGAUUAAGCAAAGCAAACUUCACAAAUCAAAAAAAAUUCCAUUCAAAAUAUUGUCUUUAUCUAUCUACAAGAUAAGAACAUUAUUUGUCUUUAUCUGUCAAUUACCCCACCCUACAUAAAAGAAAUAAGCUUAUUCUUUCUAUUUUUAGAUGGUGAUGAUAUUAACCGGCUUAGUUGUAGCUUUUUCUUCAUGAUACUUUAUCAGAGAUAUUAACAAUCUGACCCCUCUCCUUGGGCAUCACACUUCAUCACAUUCUUUACCAUCAUGAUGCAUGCGCACACUCAAUAUUGCACAGUACACACUUAAGAUAAUGUUUAUGUACUCACCUAAUAUAGAAUAGUAUACACUUAUAAUAGUAUGGUACAUACUUAAUAUAGAAGGGUAGAAACUUAAUAUACCAAAGUAUAUACUUAAUAUUACACAGUUACCACUAGUAUCAUAGUAAACAAUUAGUAUCCUCUAGUACACAGUUACUAGAUAGGUGUGCACACUCAAUAUACCAUAGUAUAGUUAAUAUAACAUAGUACAUAGUUAAUAUCCUCCAAUACAUAAUUACUAGAUGCGUGUGCACACUUAAUCUACCACAGUAUAUAGUUAAUAUAACAUAGUACUUAGUUAAUAUCCUUUGUAUACAGUUAUUAGAUACAUGUACACACUUAAUGUACCAUAUUAUAUAGUUAAUAUACCACAGUACAGAUAUUAAAUAUAUAUAGUAUGUAGUUAAUAACUUAAUAUACUAGUACACAUUUAAUAUAGCGCAGUACGCACUUAUACGCUACUAUAGUAUACAGCUAGUUGAUAUGUGUACACAAUUAAUAUACCAUAGUACAUAAUUAACAUACCACAAUAUACAUUUAAUAUACCACGAUACAUACUUAAUAUACCAUGGUACACAAUUAAUAUAUGUUUUGGCCAUAGAGGAAGAACCAUGGCUGUCGCCGGCAGGUGGUGGCAGCGUGGGAGGCAAAGGCAAGGUCAGUCACCAUCGGCCGCCAUCAGCCCCGACGAUCGAGCGGAGGAGGGGGGGUAGGAAAGUAUAUACACCGUCAAGUACUAUAACAAAAUACAAUACGCAUUGCCCAUUCUAGAAUGGCUAAAUUCUCUGUGAGAAGCCUAUUCUUGAUAUCGAUAACAAUGGUGUCCCCCUGCCCGAUGAUGACCAUGGGGCUUGGCGUUCUUCCAUUGAUGGUGAUUGCCAGCUUCUAAAAGCAACCAGGGGACUUUAAACUCAUGCUACCUCCUAUUUUUUAUAGGGGGUAUUGGCUUGAACAGAGCGAAAGGUGGUAAAGAUGACGAAGAGAAACAGGUGCUGCAGAGUAGCUACUAACACAACACAUCUGGACGACGCCUCCAUCUCAGGCCAAAAAAAAGAUUUUCCUCCGGCUCCAGAGCAUCGAUCAAAGGGGUUUUAAAACUAUGUCGUAAUCUGAAAAUGGGCUUGGCUUUUGUAAUUAGAUUGGAUAUGGAGGGUAUUUUCGUCGUCCUGGGAUCCUGAGUUAAAAAUAUAAAUUUAUGUGGACCGGAUGUUAUAAAACAGGUACGGGGGCGUUAAACAUUAUGUCACGGUCGAAGGAUGGACCCGCUGUUAAUUUCCUCCAUUUUUUCCCCUGUUCAUCUAACCUGAUCCCAACCUCAACAUCCAUGGCCGAGAACCCAAGAAGGAGCAGCAGCGACUCCUCCUCCUCCUCCUCCUCGGAGUUCGAGUUCUGGAUGGUUGGCAAAGAGCCGUCCAUCCCCCAGCCUCGCCUUCUCACCGCCGACGAACUCUUCGUCGACGGCGUCCUCCUCCCUCUCCACCUCCUCUCUUUCUCCCACCCCAACCCCAACUCCACCACCCAACUCCCAUCCGAACCCGAGCCCCAGACAUCACCACCUCCCCCAGACUCCUCUACUUCCACCUCCUCCUCCAAGAGAUGGAAAGAUAUCUUGAAGGCGGAGGAGAGAAAGUUGGCGGAGAGGAUGAGGAAUAAGGGGAGAAGAGACAGUAGUGCCGGUAACGCCGCGGAACUCAACAUCAACAUCUGGCCCUUCUCGAGGAGCCGCUCCGCCGGGAACGCCGGCAAUGGCACCGGGAACAGGACCAAGGUUAUGGGGGCCCGGCGCAAGGCCUGUAGCGCGCCUUGCUCCCGGAGCAACUCCCAUGGAGAGUCCUCGAAGCCGGCUGCCACCGCCACGGCCGCCAACACCACCACCCCGUCCUCCUCCUCGAGGGGGAGGUGGCCUCCCAACCCGGGCCGGGUCCGAUUCAAUGGUGGCAUCCAGCUUGGCGGGACCAGCCCGAUCUGGCAGCUUAGGAGGAACUGCAGGCCCCCGGAACCGGAGAAGAAGACCCACGGAAGCGAUGGCGGCGAUGCGAAGAAAGGAGGUGGUGGUGGUGGAGUUAGAAUGCUGAGUUUUAACAUGAACACAUGCAUCAGGUAUCGGAAUCAGGUGAUCAGUUGCAGUGGGGAGGGUAAGGAUGGGGUGGACGCCGGCGACCGGAGCGCUCGAAGCGUUCGCGUUGGAAGCCAUGCUGGUCUGUUUAAGCUUAGCGCCAUUUUCUCCAAGAAGGUGCUUUGAUGUAAAUAUAAUUGUAUAUUAUGGCUGGAUCUUGUAAAGUCUUAUGCCCUUUGUAUCUGAUGUCUGUCUCUGAAAUUCAUCUUCUAUCUUUGAUUCAAGUAGUUUGAAUUUAGAACCAUCCUUACAAGUAUUUGAGCGUUCAUGGAAGCAAUUCUUGAACGAAUGCUAUGAAAUACUGGCCAUGGUCAUGAUUCAUGGAUUCAUAGGGUAAUUGAUGGCGAGAUAUAUAUAUAUAUAUUUUUUUGUAACGGUGUUGGGAGGAAAAUAACACAAUAAGCAGGAAAAAAAAAGAAAAAGAAUAAAAAAAUAUAAUAUUUACAUAAUUCAUGAGCAAAGACGGCAUAAAAAUUUUAUCUUAGAAAACUGGAGAUUACAAAUGGCAAAGUUUUCUUUCAAAUUCUAGCUCCCGGUACAUCCGAUGUUUAGAAUACAUAAUUACUUUCAUCUUUUAAAGUUACAAAAAAUAUAUAUAAUAAAGUAAGUUAAUUUGUACAAUAAUAAAGUAAGCCAAUUCGGACUAACUUUGUUUUUGCCUGCUGCGCUGCACCUGCUUCAGAAAAAAAAGAUUUUUUUUUGCGCUUAUUUAGAACUUAUAAACUCAAGACAUAUUCAACAGAAAUGAAUCAUAUAUAUAUAUAUAUAUAUAAUGAGCUUAGCCAGAAUCUGGAUGAGGGUGUGAUUCCAAUCUAUAUCACUGAUAUCCAGUGGCCAUUUUACCAACUCAGCCAAUCAGCACCCUUAGACAGCCUCUACAUGCAUCACACCAAGUACGAAAUAUUUAAAUAAAGUAAUUAUAUGUUAAUUCUGUCUGGUUCAUUGACUUUUCUAGUCAGUAAGUACUAAUAACACAUCAUUAAGAGAUUAUAUAAUUAGGACUUUUCAAUGGCCCUUAAAGUUGGCAAACAACAGUUAAAAAAACAAAAAAGGAUCUUUUCAUUGAUGGAUCGUCCCAUUCGUUGCCCCACCGGUUCAGAAGCCUAUCGCCAAUCUGUUGCGAGUAUAGUACAAAAGCGACCGUUGUCGAAGAUGAGCUCGUAAGCAUAGUUUAACAUUUAAAAACUUUUGAAAGACACUGUUAGAGCGAAAAAAAUGUCUGCGUCCCGAUUAGACAUAUUGUCCGCUUUCGAGAAGCACGUAUGUGCUUAGUACCAUGCACGGUUCAUACAUGACAAUUUUUUCCUCAUGACUUUAUCCUUCUUAAAAGGGCCCUCUGGAAGGAAAGAGGGUGGCCUCUUCUUAUAAGGCACAAUCCUUUCCGCUACUCUUUCGAUAUGGGACUAAAGUUCCGAAUCCUCCAUCUGUCCCCCAACACUAUCCCCCAGCGGGAAGGAUUUAUGCGGGGAAGUUUCGGCAGGUCCCUUCCUCUAACACCAUCUGUUAGAGCAGAAAAGUGACUGCGUUCUGACCAGAUGUAUUUUCCGCUUUAGGGGAGCACGCACGUGCUUAACACUAUGCGCGGUUCGUACACAACAACUUUCUCCUCACGGCUUUGUCCUUCUUAAAAGAGCCCUCUCAAGGAAAAAAGAUGGCCCCUCCUUAUAAGGCAUAAUCCUUUCCGCUACUUUUUCGAUGUGGGACUAAAGUUUCGGAUCCUCCAUCCACCCUCCAACACUAUCCCCCCAAUGGGAAGGAUUUGUGCAGAAAAGUUUCGGCAGGGCCCUUUCUCUAGCGCCAUCUGUUAGAGAAGAAAAUUAUCUACGUUCCGACCAGAGGUAUUGUCCGCUUUGUAAGAGCACGCACGUGCUUAACACUGUGUGCGGUUCGUACACAACAAUUUUCUCUUCACGGCUUUGUCCUUCUUAAAAAGGUCCUUUGGAAGGAAAGGAGGUGGCCCCUCCUUAUAAGAUACAAUUCUUUCCGCUACUCUUUCGAUGUGAGACUAAAGUUUCAUAUCCUAUUCACCCCCCCCAAAAGAUACUAUAGUUUUGGAUUCUGCAUGAAAGUAUUCUUAUUUGCUUGAGGUUUGUUGUCAGAAUUGCCUUUGGGAUAAAGUAAAUCUUUUAAGACUGUUUGGUUUGGGCGGAAAAAAAAAAUACUGAGAUCUUUUUUUUAAAAGCUGAUGCACGAAUAUAUUAUGCUUGAAAAAUAAUUUUUAUAUAUUUAGUUAUUCAAAAAAAAUAUCAUAUUUUCAUAGUGCUUUAUAUUUGGCUCAGCAUCUACUUUAUUGAGAAAGUAUUGUAUAAAAAUACCUAUUAUAUCUUUAAUAAAAAAAAUAUUUUACCUCAUUCUUUCAAAAAUUUAAAGAUACUUAAAAAAUUUUAAUUUUUAGCUAGUGGAAAUUGGAUUUUUGCAUGUCCCACAUAAUUUUUUUCAUAAAAUGUAAAAAUCUUAUGUGAAAAUGUUACUUUUCUAUUUUUUUUCUUGAAAAUUCCAAUCAAGCAUAAAAUAUUUUUUUAUUUUUUUGCUGACCACACUUUUUCUCCUUCUUAUCUGGAAAACAAGUCCUUAGUAGUUUAUAUUAUAUAUAAAAAUUGAGAUUAGUUGUAUCAGCUCUUCCAACUCCACUUUCUCUCACUUGAAUUUCAUCAUAGUUCAAAAUAGAACUCUCUACUAGAAAAUUUUAUCCGGUAAGGAAUAUUUUAAAUCACAAAUCUAAAACCUAUUUUUUUCAUGAGAAGAUAGUGUUAUUCACUAAAUCAGCCCACAGAAUAAUAAAUACAACACAAUGAUGUAAAUAGGCAUUCAAGUUAGAGCAUUGUGAUUAUACCGAUAUUUUCUAAAAUGCUAAUUCCACAUAUCUUUUUAGUGGUCAUUGCUUGGUCCAAUAGUAAGCAAAUGCAAUGGUGUAGGUUCGAAAUUGUAACUAUUAUUGGUUCGUCUCUCUCAGGAUCUCGGAUUUUCAGUGGAUAAUAUCUAUUUUUUUAAAAAAAAUCUAUCAUUUAAAAAAAAAUCUUUUUGUUGAAAAAAGAUGAAAUAAAUGUGUUGAGUAAUAUCUACUCCUCCUUGGGUUUCAAAUCCAACCUAUGAAAGUGAUCUGUCUCAACUUUUCACAAAUUCAACCUUACAUGAAAACUUUGAAUCAUUUUGGCAUCUCCCAAUUCAAGGACAGAGCAUUAAGUUACAAGCUAGUGUCUCAUCAAUGCUACUUAUUAACUUUUGCUUCUUUUGGAGGUGGUUAAGAUAUUAAUUAUAUGUGGAUCCUUGCCGUUACAUUUUUGGUUCCACGUUAUACAUUUCACACAUCUCGAAUGCUUAUACAGGACAGAACCAAAAGAUCCAAAUAAUAUCUUCCAACCAGAUUCUUUUAAAGUAAAGUCAUAAGUUGUGACAAAAUUAUAUCAGAAUGGUCUAUAUGGGCUAAAAAAUACUACAACACAGAUUUAUAGAGUCAGACAUUAGAUUUAAAUAGAUCUAGACUAUUAGUCUGACAAUGCUAGGAUUUAAACGAGAGAAGCAUAUAAGAAUCCAUGCAGGCGUAUUGAUAUAUUUUAAGUGUUUACACAAAGUUCAAAAAAAAUAAUCUAAAUAAUAUUUUUUAGACUGGCUUUUUAAGAGCAAGGUCAUUACUUUGAGAUAGAUGCAAGUGAUUUUAUUUAUCCACAUAUAUAGCUUGCAUGUAUUUGGGGGAAUAGCAGAUGCGUGCAUGGGGGAAUAGCGACAAGAGACCGUACUUAGGCCCGACGUUGCCUCCACGUGCUCACCGAUCUAACCGUCCGAUCAACAGCGCCACCUCAUAGACUGCCCUUCCUUGGACGUUAUGUGGGAACAAAUGUCCUUGAUCUGACAGCGAUCCAUGUCCUAGAGUCACAGGUUUGCUGUUCUCUCCUCAACAGCAAGCAUCCAGACCACGUAAUCAUAGCCGUCGAUCAACCGAGGACUAUCUUUGGGUGCAAUGCUGCGGAACAGGAAACCUCUCGAGUUUUGCAAUGUUGGUAGAUUUCAGAGUUUUACAAGGAACGUCCACUUCAGAACUACCAUGGAGUGAUACUUUUCAGAUGCUGAAUUGUGAUUGGAAGGAAGAUUUACAUGGUGAUGAGGGGUUUUAUUUCGUAAAAUUUUUGAUGUUUUGUUGUUGGAAGGUAAUGCUAUGGAGCUCUCAUCAUCUCUUACCAUACGUCAUUAUGGGAUUGAUGUCUCUAGUAGGAUUACAUAGAGAUUAAAUGACUAUUAGAUUACUAAAUCUGUAUUUGUGGAUCCGAUGUUCUUGGAUACAUAAUGGGUUCUAGAAGUAUCUUCAAUGUUGAAGUAGGGAUUCAAGUUUAUAUGCAUAUAUUAUACCUACAACGGAUGAUUCCUAUAUUUUUAGUAUGAAUACAGAAUACAUCAAAAAAAAAGGUCAAAAAACAACAAGUUUUAGAGUGCUCUCAGCAACUCUUGCUCCCCAACCCAUGUAUAGGGCCCCCAGAGUGAUCGGCCACAAACGAGACUACCCAAUCCAUGGCCCCGUUAGUCUCUCUAUAAACAUGCUUGGGCUGAAAAGCCACAUCGCCACUAACUAUGGUCCGAAUGUCUUGGAGCAAGGAAUUACACUCAUCCAUGCUGCCGAUGCUCCUUGGAUCCAACCGAUCAUCGUAGCCGAAUCACCUAGUUUAAAUAUAUACUUCAAAAAUUAUUUUUGUUUAUACUAUAAUAUGGAAAGAAAGAAUUGAAAUGAGAAAUAGAUUAGGAUAUAAUUCUGACUUUCUAGUUCUAGCUAUUAGUAAAAAAAACAUUUUACAGAAAAAUCCACUUUAUUUUAUUUUUACAAAUAUAAAAGACAUUUUUCCAUAAUUAGUUAUCUUUAAACUAUAUUGGACAAUUUUAUAUCCUUGCCAUUAAUAACUGCAUAUUCUUAGUGACUGGUAGAGCGGAAAAUCAACCAUUGUGUGUGUGUUUGUAUAUGCAUAAAAAUAUAACGAUAAAAAAAAAACCAAAAACAAAAAACAAAACAGUGCUGCCAAGCUGGCCUUGGGCCGGCCCAGGCACAAUGCAAGAGCCCAAAUCCAACUCCUUUUGUUAAUGGCCGAGUUGGUGAACAACUAAAACACCCAAUUAACCCUUCUCCAAAUCAAUAGUUGAGAUCUAAAAUCCAUAACUUGUUGGAAUCUGACUAUUUAGCUAAUCAUAUCCCUCAAAGAUUAUGAGGGAUUGAACAUAAUACUGCGAUGGAAAAAACAGUCGUGUGUGAGUAGUCUCACGACAAAUGCAUGAAUUUUAUUGUCUCGUUGGAGUGCAUCUUCAAAUGGAAAAAAAAAAGAGAGGAAGCAAUUAAUUGUCACUAGGCCAAAUAUUAAUUUAAGUAUGUAUUAUAUACAAACUGAAUAAAUUCUAGUCUUAAUGUUAUUUCCAUAUCAGGGAAUGAAUGCCAACAUAAUGAUAGUUGAUCUUGUGACUGCUUGGAAUAUUAUGGUUAAUAUAUUGGGUCUAUUUCCACCAGAAAAUCCUAGUUUUGGUGGAAGCUGAGUGUAAAUCGUCUCCCAUUACAAUAUUGGAUCUAAUUAUUGAAGGAAAAGUCUACUUACAAUGCAUCCAUGCGUUAAAAUAUUUACAGAAGAAGAAAAGAAUAAGAGAAAAAGAGAGAGAGAAAACUAAUUUUAUUUCUCUAUUCCAUCAUAUUCGGUACAUCUCAAGAUUAUAUAUGCUCGUAUACAGACUCCACACAAGAAAAAUAACAUAGGCUGAUAUAAGAUCAUACUAAUAAAGAAAAAUAAUACUCACUGAUAUAAAUCGUUAUGUGAUCCCUAAAAUCACUCUAACAAGAUUAUGCUAACAAAGAAAAAUAAUAUCCUGCUAAUUAAGAAAAAUAAUAUGGACUGAUACAGAUUGUCAUGUGAUCCCUAAAAUUAUGCUAACACCGUGGAUAUCUGAAAUAAUGACACCCAAUAACUUUCCACACAUAGGGUCUCUCUUUAACAAGGAAAUAAUUUCCAUGGGAGUGACAUUUAAACCAUUUGCGAGGGUGCAACAACCGAGUAGGCGAUUUUAGAGCUUUAUGUUGCUUCUUUGAAACACAGUUGGUUAGUUCAAAGCCAUGGACAAUGCCUAGGUGGCAGCAUUCAUUCACCUUUGUUCAUGGCUACAUGCCUUCACAUUAAAAGAUAUAAAACAAAAAAAAUUCUGCACACAUUAGAUCCUCUAAUCUUCUAUAUUUGCAGAUUGAUUCAUCCUGUUUAUAUUUGUAUAUAUAUAUUAAUCCUUGCAAUCUGCAUCGUUGUGCAUAUAAGUUCUUCUACUUGUAAGUCUUAAUCUAUCCGUGCAUGGUUAAAGGUUACUACGUACAGUUGGGGAAAAAAAAACUAAAAAGCCCUUGAAGUAGGUUGAAGUAAAGAGAGAUUGGGAACUCCAUAUAGACUACUACAGUUCUAGAUGUGGUUUUCACAACACCGGCAAGCUCGUAAUCUCUAGGUCUAAGGAUCGAGGAUUGGUUCUUGACAAGGAGGGUGGUGAGAUCAAACAUGCUUUGAAGCUGAACUCAUAAACAAGCUGUAGUGCUUAAACAUUUUACAUUUAUAAAAAUGAAUGGAAUCAAAGCUUGGCUUAACUACUCGUUCAAAGUGAACUCAAAUAUAUCACAAACGAACCAAGCUUGCAAUUAUAUUAUCAAACUCAAUUUAAGCUAUUUGUUAAGUUGAGCAUGAACAAGGGCUCAUAUGCAUCUAGCAGGUCCACCAAAAUUAGAGCAGUCUAUCUAAAGGACCCGGAUUGGGAGUCUAAAGGAUGGUAGUAUCAUCAAAAGGUGAAGUUGUAAUUCUACAAUAAGUUCUAGAACGGCCUACCGUCAUGUUUACCAUUUCAGAAACACAAUACAUUCUUCUUCUUCUUUUUUUUUUUUUGUAUAGAACGGAUAUAUUAUAUAGUUCUAGUAUGAGUACAUUCAAAAAAAAAAAUCAGAAAAUAGAAGAUGAUAUAAGGUGAGAAGGAGAAGUCACAUAGCUAUAUAACGUAGAGAAUGCCACCGGAUUGUUGCGCAAUAUAAGAGGCGAUCUAAUCAGCUGGCCUAUUUGCCAUUCGAUAUAUAUAAAUAAUUUAGAAAGCACUGCAGUCCCUCGUCAACCUGUUGAUAUCCUGCAGCAGCGUACGCUAUGUUCCAUAGCUAGCAGAAAAUGAGAUAACAGGUCAGCAAAAGAAGCCGUUCAAGAAACUCCUCUCUAACUUUUUCGGAGCUGCCAACUGCGUCAGGACUUCGUAAGUCUUUGGCUCAUUAUUAAGAGAAUUUUGCAGCCAUUCGAAAAAGCAAUGGUUUUUGUGAGCACUUGGUCAAUUAUUCAGAUCAAAGCCAUGAGACCAACCUAUACAACUAAGCCAUGAGACCAAUUCAGCUUCUUGCCUGGUGCUAAAUAACCAAAUAUCGGUCACCACAGACAUCUGCAUCUAUUCAUAUUUCGAAUGAAACCUCUUGGUUGGCAGAUAAGACCACUAAAUCAUACAUCUUCUCUUUCUUUUGUCUCCCUGGAAGACAGGGAGGAUCACCUCUUUUUUGCCCUAGAAGAAUUGCAACCAGAAAGAAUCAGCAGGGACAAAACUAGCUAGUGUGCUUAGCUGAUGAUUCCCUUGUAUAUAUCAUCAAUCUUCUGGCUGAUUCCCUUUUUCUAUGCUUGUGUCUUGCUUUAAUUGAAGGCUUGGAUGGAAACUGCCAUGGUAUAGAAAUAUCAAACAGGAGAUGGUGGGUCGUCUCUGCAGUUCAUGAGUCCAUAUUUCGUACUCCCUUCAAAGUUAUGGAGGUCAGCAAAUCGGCUGGGUUUGUCAAUGCCUUGUGCUGCUUGUUUACUUCUGCAAUAUUUAUAGUUUAACUCAGCAAAAAUUUAAGAAAAAGGAAAUGCAGGCUCUGUGCAGCUUAUAAAUUUCUGAUAUUGUGGCAUAGGUGGGAGGAAAAAAAAACAAAUGAGCAAAGACGUAUCAAAGAUAUUGUCUUAAAAACAAUGUUUCCUCACUAAGAUCGUAAUCCAAAAUUUGCAGGCUGCUAUUUGGAAAAUCUGCUUUUAGGAUACAAUGCCCGAUUCUAAUCGCCUUCCUCUAAGUCUGCGUUCUCAAAGAAAGAUAAGCUAAUUUGAACCUUAUGAUAGUCAAAAAAAGAAAAGAAAAAAAAAUAUAGUAGAACAAGAAAGAAAAGAUACUGUUAAUUUUUCUUAUUUUACCAGAUUUAUAUAACAACUCAAGAGACAUCGUCCUUCGUGAUGACACGUCUUUUUGGUGGAGAGAGUCGACUUAGACAAAUCAAAAUUCUUUAAAGAUUGUUGAGCAUGGAAGUGCAUCCUAUUUGACCCUUUUCAUGCACGUCAGGCUCUGGCUCUAGUCUCCUCGCUACAAUAAAAUAUAAUUUUAACAAAUAAAAAUUAUCAUUAGAAAUUUCGGUAAUGAGAUUUUGAUCAUCAAGAUCAUUAUGUAUGUCCAUCCCUAGAAUUUGCGUGAUGAUAAAAUAAAUACUGUCACUAAAAUCUAAAGGUUUUCUUGAUGACAUUAAACGUGUCACAAAAAAAUCUUAUUUGUGAGCAAAUGUGCUAUUAUAGAAAAUAGGAUUUUUUACAUGGAUACCGUUCUAAAUAUCUGAUUUUACAUGAAUAUCCUAACAAAAUUGAUAUUUGUAUGUAUACCCUCGUAAAACUCUGUUAUUGUACAAAUGCCCGUAAUAUAACGGUUGUUCUAACGGUGUUAAGAAAAUUUAUAUUUAUAUUAAUUAAAAAUAAAAUAAAAUUCUAAAAUUUUGCUGUUGUCUCUAUCUUCUUUUUCCGCUAUCAGAAUCGCGAUUUAUUUGCAUGUCUACCCAUUAAGAAUAUUUUAGCCAUUUUAACUUGAAACCGUUAAUUUUUUAGCGUCGUUAGAUAGCAUAGGUACAUAUGCAAAAACAAAAAUUAAAAAAAAAGUUAUAUAUGCAAAUAUCAAUUUUAAAAGAGUAUUCAUGCAAAAUUCAAUAUUUAGGAGGGCAUUCAUGUAAGUUAGAAAAUAUUAUCAUAAUUUCAGUCCGGUAGACUCAAUCCGAGUUUGAGGUGGCCCAGCCGGGACGGCCGGUUUUUUUGUGACCCGGACCAGUCCACGGCAAAAUAAACCUCGACAAUUAAAUGCCUUCAACCAUCUCUACGUCCGUCUCCAUAGAAACUGAAACCCUUCUAGAAGCCACGUGGAGUAGAUUCAACAUUCGCAUUGGAUGUCAGCGUAACUUUUCAUGCACGUAAAGUCACAAGCUCUUGUCUCCUAGAGUAAUUAUAGGGAGAAUGGCCAUGGAACAUAUAUAGGUUUGUACGUCUGUAAUGAGCCCGGGAAGUCUCAAGUUGGGGAGGUUUUCUCAUAAUAAAAAGAUGGUUUCAUGGGUACUUUGACCAAAAAAGAAUUGGACCACACACAUGGUGAUAGCUUGCUCUUAGUGUUAAUAGAACUAGUCAGAUGGGUGCUGGUCGUUCGGUGGGCCUUUUGCUAUAAAGACAAUGUUAGAGUGGGCAUUGACAUAUUAGGCUUCAUGCUGGCAAAAUUGGUUGGUAAUUGGCAACUAUUCUUAAUGGUGUGGUUGGUUUUGUUAUUCGUGGUCCGAGUACAGUCUUAUUGGCAGUCGGAUCUUGUCAUCUCUACGAUCUCAUGGUUCUGUCGGUAGAGUUGAGAGGAGCAUGGGAAGAUUGAGUAGUUGUUAUCGCAGUCCUCAAAGCACCCAUCGUUGUGUUAGAGGGGGAUUCUAAAACUGUGAUUAAUUGGAUAUUCAGCUUGAUUUAUAUGGGUAAUGCCCCUCUUCCCAUGGUGGACCAAGAGCGAUGAUUUCUACAUUGGAAUCAUUCGAGGCAAUUCAUGUAUAUAGAAGGCAAUAGUGCAGCAGAUUGGAUUGCUUCAUAUAGGGCACCUCAUUUGGGAUCAGUGUUUUGGAGAUCUGGUACAUUGGUGCCUGCUCAACCAGCUUCAUAAUACGCUAUUUUUGGAUAGAAUAUUUAGUUGGGCCAUGAAUAGGCCAACAAAAGAGAUGAGUUAGGUUUGGUAGAGAAGCAAUAUCAUACCAUCUUCAUCCAUUAUGAGAAUGAAUUCAAAUUUCAUUUAUAUAUAUAGAUGCUCGUGCCCUCUUGCAUCGAGAAUAAAAGCAUUCAAAAAAUUUAGAAUUGGAUCGAUCAUUCGUACAAAAAAAUGUUAACAAAAAAGAACAUCGUGAACGUGUAAAACCCUCGAUUUAAAGUUCCUUCAAAAAAUAUAAGUAGUGUUGAUAUAUAUAAGAAAAAAGGUUAAGGUUGCGGCAGUAUACCCGUCAUUUUGGGCUCCAAAAGGUAUUGCAGUACGUUAGCUGGUAAUCAUAUAUCUAUAUAAUUCCAAGAAAAAAGUUGCGAGCAUAGGAAUGAGACAUGCAUUGCCAUUAAUUAUAAUGUCAUUUGGCUUCCAUUUGGAUCAGUAACAACUAUGUUUCAACUAUGUUUUGUAGGCCAUGAUAGAUGCCAGCAAGCUAACGGUCAUAUAACUAUACCUGCAAUCUCUUGUAGUGUAGCAUAUAAGCAAAACAUGCAUGAUAUACAUAUUAGAGAGAGGUUCGGCCUCCUUAAUUAUUUCAAUUUUUGAUUUAUGUCAACCUUGGUAACUCCGAUACUAGAACUCAACAUGCAUGAUAUACAUGUUGGAGAGAGGUUCGGUCUCCUUAUAUUUUUACCAUGUAUUAUCAAUAUACAUCUAACAUUUCUCUUAUUUGUCAGUAGCUAAUACUCUUUCUUGAUAUGGGGUCCUAGUUACGUGGCCCAACCAUAAGGGAAGGGAAAAAAGCAAAAGAAAGGAAGAAAAUGAAGUGGAGGGUGGCUAAAAAAUAGAGCUUUACCGACUAAAAUAGAAGAAUAUAAACAGUCAAUCAAUUAUCAAUUUGCUCUUUUUUUUAACUAACAAUAUCUAUUUAUUUUUAAGCAAAUUACAUGCAUCUUUUUCUCUUCAAUCUUUUUUUUUGGUAACCCCAUUCAAUCAUUCAAAUACAACCAGAAGUUAUGUUGACUCUCAAACUAAUGAAAUGCGUGAAGCAACAUCCCCCUUUCCCCCAUUCCAAGGAGUUAUCCCUCUUCCCAAAAAUCAAGUAGCACCCAUAAAUCCAUUAACUAAUCCAUUCAAUUGCCAUUAAUGAACCUGAGAGAAUAAUGAAUGAAGGGGCAAGGAAGAAGGAAUUACCGCCCUCGUAUGUCUAUCCAAAUUACUGUUUUACCAUCGUGGCGUGGCUUAACAAAAUGACCAAAACACCCUCCAUUCAUUAAAUUUAUCUCGUGAUAUCUCGAUCACAGCCACACAAUUGCAAAUCAACUUUAUUCCUACUCCGCGGUUCAUCAGAUGCCUCCUCCCCGUUUCUAUUUCUUCUCUAUCCUCCUUUUCAGACUUGUUUUGCACUCUUGAUUUAUUUUUACUGCUGUAAUUUUAGUUUCCUUGGACGAAAUCAAUAUUCUGAUAUUCUUUGAAGAUUUGAGGGCUAAUUUCGCCAUUGUGAUGCUUCAGAAACGGUGAGAAGAACUUUCGGCGGCUGAUAUAUCGAGGAAGGAAUGAGAGCGGAAAAGCACGGGGAUCGCAGCGCCAACGUGAUUCGAGCCGGCCCGAACCGUAGAGUACGGACUCGCCUUUCUUCCACCCGCCGGCCCGAGCCGGUCCCCUACAUCGCCGGGCAGCCAAAGACGUUGACGCCCGCCUUCUCUCUCCACAUGCAUAUUCGUAGAGAAAGAAAAUAGCUUUUCAGUAGAAAUAAAAUUUUUAUAUUUUAUAAAAAAAUUUAUAAUUUUUUUAAAAAAUAUUUUUAAAUGAAUAAAAUGAAAUAAAUUUUUUUUAUUAAGAGCAUAAUAAAUUUUACUAUUCAAAAUUUGACAAUAAUAGAUUAUGAUAAACUUUGUAUAAACAAAAUUGGUCCAAUCACACGUCUAUUUCAAUUUUCAAAUACUAGUUUUAUGAUUUACAUUUGUAUUAAUGUGUAACAGAAUGGCCUCUUCUAAACAAUCAUGUUCAUGACCCUUACAACAUUGAAAAAAAAAAAAGAAAAGAAAAAAUUUAUAAUCUGGAACUUGAAAUUCUUUCUUUUUAAAAGGCUUUUUUCUUUUUUUUUUUUCCGAGAGAGAGAGAGAUUCAGGAAGGAAUGAGGAAAGAUUUGAAAUGAGGCUGGCUCAUUAAUCGAGAUUUAAAAGAUGGCGGCAUACUUAUUGCACCUGGCACUAAGAACUCGAGCUCCAUCUGGUGGACCCUGCAGGGACUCGGGCGUGAUGUCGUUGUGAUCACUACCCUACACGUGCCACCUUGCAAUCCGUGCACCCAUUCGCACGCUUGGGCAUUACUCGAACGCCCGUCGUGCACGCUCCAAAGGAAAUUAAGCAGUCUCCACGUACUCGUGCUGGGUCGUAUUAUUCUUGCGUCGAGCGCAAGCCUCCCUCGGCUGGAUCCCAUGCAUGCACGUGAGCGCCCCGGGGGGACCUCCCCGUUCUCGUCAUCCGACGGCCGAGAUCGUCCGGCUGGCUAGAGUGAGGUUGACCGACCCGGGUGCCACGUGUUGCUGUUCCAGUGGUUGCCUUAGCUGGUGGGAGUGUUCCUCUUGUCCUGAAUUGCCACGUGGAAUCGAGGAAUCAUUAUACCACUGGUUGUUAGUGAUGGUAGCGGUGGCAGGGGGUGUCUUGCCUCAAACAGGAGACAGCAACCUUGUAAAGUAUGAUGUAGGAAUUGAUGGAACCACCCAAUAACCAGCUAAUUUGAAAACAAAAAUUAUUCAUUAUUUCAUGAAAAAUAAAAAAUAACAAAUAAAAAAAUUAGAGAAUGGAGGGAUAUGGCUGAUAUUUGGCCAGUUAAAUUUCAUAACUUUGCGUUAACCAUUAUUUACCCAGCAACCAAACACCGCCAAGAUAUGUUCUCAUCUGUUUGCAGCUCUAAUUGUAUCGCAUCUGCACUCCAUAUAGAUUUUUUUUUUUUGUAAGCUCUAUGAAUUGCAUCGCAUUUUACAUUCUUAAUAAAAUAUUUUCGUGAGGUUCUCUCUUAGAUUGGCUUAUCAUACUAUUGUCGAGGACUUUAGGAAAUCUUAUCCUAACUUAUUGAUGAAGCAUCUAAAUGUAACUAAAGUAGACUGUACAACUGUAGGGAAGUUAACAUGAAACUAACAGUUCCAAUAAGAUAGGAUUAGAUCGCAAAAGUGUUCACUAGUAUGCUAUCAAACAUUGGAAAGUAAAGGACUAUAUGAAAAAAGCCCUAGUUCUAACCCAAAAGGAGCACUCAUAAAAUUUAAAAAUAUUGCAAAGGUGAGUAAUGGGAUUAGGAGGACGAGGUGUAUGGGGCUGGAAGUGCUACAAGUGGGAUGAGGUUUUGGCGUAUAGCUUUGGAAGAUUAGAUGACAAGAGAUGGGUGUAGUUAUUGUUUUGUAAAUGCACCAAAGCCAUCCUAUCAUCUUGGGAAGAAGAGGGAAGCAAAAUCAGAACGAGAUCCUUGACAAAUAAACAAAUAGAAUAUUGAGAAGAGGCUUAUUUCCGGCUUGUCCUUUGUCCAUUAUGAUAUAGCUACAUAACUUAUCUGCAAGGUGAAGUGGGGAGCUAGCACGCUUCCCAUCCUCCAAGAGAAGGCUCCAAUGGCCUCAUUUUCUUUUAUAUGAGAGACUUUGUCAAUCAAGUUAGGUAGGCUAACUUCAACUUUAACCUUGAUAUGGCACUUAACAAAAAGGUAACCGUUAGUGGCACCAUUAAUUUCUUCCAGUUAUUUGAUUUCUUCGAGGGGUUCUUCCAUGUAUACUUACCGUUGCUCAUGAAAAUUUGCUUGAAUUUGCUCUCUAAUGUCAUCCCUUUGACAAUGGCAUACUGUUUUUUUUUUUGUGAAAAAGAGCAUUUUAAGACUAAGGCUACAGCAAAAGCUCCAUGAACAGAUUUUGCCCACUAUUUUAACAUCAUUCAACAGCUAUGAAGAUAAAAAAAUAAUAAGAGGUUAUUCUGAAAAAUAUUAAUAUAUUACCUUGGUUUGGAAGCUAACAUAAUUUUUAAAAUAGUGCAUCACAACAUUACAUGAUAACAUACUAAAUAUUUUGGAUUUUAAUAUUGUACUACAGAUAGGUUUAUAUGUGACAUGCAAACUUAUUAUAUGAUUUUGGCAUGAUCAUAAUUAUAUUCAUGAUGAUGCGUAUAACAUCCAUUACCUACGUGACAUCACAUAAGUUGAAAAAGGUAAUACAGAUGGCCUAAUGUUGUUUUAGUAUCAUUGUUUGAAGUUGUGAUUAAGAUAAUUAAGAAGACUUGACAUGACUUAAGAAACAAUCCUUUUUUUUGCUCCAUACUUUGGAAAGCAAAUUAAACGCUGAGCUAUGAAAAGCUAUCAAACAUUAAAGCAAGCCAAAAGUAAAUAAACCCUAUAUAACACUAUUUUUUUGACAUGUAAAUUACUGCCACUGGCUAGGGAGAGUGAAAGUCUCUACCAGCUCAAAUGCCAUGUUAAUGUAGACACUGGCUUAUCAAACGUGCAUCUCAAUGCAAAACGCCACAACAUCUGUUUUUACAAAAGCUUGUCCAUUUUUAUUUCACUAUUGGUCAAUUACAUCGAAAAUUUAUAAAGGCUCAUCCAUUUUUAUUUCACUAGCUAGACAAUGAGCUACCCUAGUAUUGUUGAAUGAAGUCUUAGCUUGUUAUAUAUAGCAUCCGAGUACAUCCUUUAAGACUAACCAUAGUGUUUAUAAUUGGAUUUGAUUAUAUUUCGAUCUUCAACUUGUUGUUGCGAGAAUUUAAACAAGCAAAAAAAUCCAUGCCAAUAUGUGUUUGAUUUUAGAUUGAUUAAGUGCUGAAGAAAUAUUGAGUAUUUAUAUGAAACUACAAAAUCUAAAUAGAAUUUUUCAGUGCCUUUUUUUCAUAAUGUAAUUCUGGAUUGUUAAAACACAUAUACUUUCCUACCCCACUAAUCGAUAACAUCGAGUUUGGCAGCUGCAAAUGUUUUUUUUAUAUGUUAUUUAGUCUAAAGAAAAUUUUCGAAAUCUAAAUAUUGGGUUCUAUUCUCAUCAUGGACGUCACGUCUCUAACACAGCCUUUUGGUUUAUUUUACAACAUGACACCAUGCCGGCGCCUCCCAUCCGCGCUCUCCAUGACGCCUCCUCACAAGUUUUUUAUUCUUGCCCCACCCAAACAUCUUAUUAAUAGUGUAAUCAAUCCUAAGCCACUAUUUAAAGAAAAAAAAGAAAAAACCGAUCUAUUGAUGCAUCCCCCCACAAUUAGGAGUAGGUCUUGUGGAUCAAGUCUGGUCUAAACUAAUUUAUCUUUUUUCAAGGUCUAUCCUCACUUCUAAUGACCUUCGACCAAAGAUUACGGUGCUUUGAAGUUCUUAUAUACAUGAUUGAUGGCAUCUAAAAUCUUUCUUUUACCGAACCUCAUUCACGCUACUUUGGAGGCCUGCAACAUAGCAUUAGAGAAUCAAAAUUCACAAUGCUUUUCUUGAUUUGAUUGAUAAAUAACUCAUUUGCUUCAUUUCGUAGACUUGAUCUUAAAGAGGCAGCAAAUCAUGUUCAUAUAAAAACUCAAUUUGUACUAGACAAGGAUUAUCAACACCACUUAAUUUAGGGUUAUUCUGAUUAUUAUAGGGUAGGAAACAUUAGGUCACGUUGAUGAGAACAAAUGAACUCAAAUUUGGAUUAACAAAUUUUGGUUGUUCAUUACUUAUAAAGCUUAUUAAGUAGAUUAUUCUUGUAGUAUGAUUAUAAGCAAAAGAUGCUUAGUUAGAUGAUGAUCAUGCAUGGAGCAAUUCUCAAAUAAACCAUCAAGAUCGGCAAAAUAAAUUAGAAAACAUUGCUUGGUUCUCAAAAGAAAUACACCAACUCUGAGGUGCGUCGAUCAAUGUACAUCCAAUACUAAAAUGAAAUAAACUGGCAUAAUUGUUUAAAAAUACACUGUCAAUAUUGUAUAACUGCCAAAACUCAGCCUCUAGCCAUACACACUGUGCAAAACAGAGAAGAAAAUGAAACAGUUCUCUCUAGUGUUAUGAAAGUAUACUCUAGUAUACCAUUUAUAAAUGAAGGCACUGAAAAUAUUGAAGUGUCCAAGUCUCAAAAAAGGAUUGUGAGAUAGGUGAUCCCCGAGUUACAGUUUCUGACAAAAGCAUGAGCAGGAUUUUCCUUUUCCUUUCUGAAACAUUGGUUAGAGAAGAUCUAAUUAACCACAUCUUAUUAUGUGCUUUGGAUGUCCCCAAUGCAUGGACUAGUCUGUGAACCCUAAGAAAUCUAGUAACAUUGUGAACAUCAUAACCAACAUUAUCUACAUAUAAGGUAUGAUGCAACAAAAGGUUUAGAGCUAACUGGCUUUUAAAAACAAGUUGUUGUCGACACAUUCAAAUCACAUAUCCAUUCCACUGGACAGCAAAAAAUACCUCUACUAAAGUAAAUUUCUAGAUAGGAUUAGGAUAAUGUGGAUGAUAAGGGGAAAAAACUGAUGAGCACUGAUGCACGCAAAUGUGGAGGAUGCUAUUAACUUCAAGAAAAAGAUUUUAAGAUAACAUCUUUUUUCUUAUUAUUAUGAUUUUGAGAACAACAAUUUACGGCUACAGUUCGCUAGCAUAAUAACCAAUUACCUUCGUAUCUACAUUAUAUGGGGAAAAAAAAGUAAAGCUGGUAUUAUAAAGCUCACGACAUCAUUCAAUAAAGACAAUAAGUUAACAAAAUACACCAAUUUGUGAAAUUUAGUAGAAUGCAAAAUAUUGCAUGAAUUAUGUUUUACAAAUUAUUUUAUUGAUUAUAAUAUGUGAUAUCACAUUUCUGUAUAAAUGUACACAUUGCAUGUACUUCUAUUGCUUCCCCUCUCUUAAUUGUUUCAAUUUUCAAUGAGCAUUACCUAGAAUCUAACUUAUGAAAGCCGCCCUAUGGCACUUUUAACAUUUCCUUAAACUUACAUAUACAUGUGAGUUAGACUGAGAUGCUUAUGAGAGUAUUUGGCUCCAAAUGUUUCUAAAUCAAAAGCAAUGAAGAACUUGUUAAAAUAAGAAUCAGCAUUAUUGAUAUGAUGCAUGACAUUCAAAUUUAUUAGAAAUUAAAAAUCAUGCAAUCUUUUCAGAUUUUUGUAUCCCUAUAUUGAAUGAAAACAAAAUGACUAGUUCGAUAAUAUGAUAUCCAUUUCAAUUUGAUUAAUAGUUUAGAAGCAUCUAAAAUACCCUACAUUUGAUCUAUAUAUUUUCAAAAACUUAGAUCAAGAUCGACAGUUUAGAUCAAUUGCAAAUUAUAUAGUUUAUACUAAUUUAUUUCUCACUAGAAAUAUUGUUAUCCAUUGCUUUUUAUUGGUUUAAUACAUAAGCAAGAGACGUCCAAAAUAAAAAAAAAAUACUUCUGAAAUAUUUUAUAUACAAUAGAUCAUGCUAAUUUUGAAAUAUUAUUUAGUGCUGAAUCUUUCUUAGACUUGUGAUUUACUUGAAGGACAUAUUCUUGAAAAAAUUGAAGACAUUAUGAAUAAUAAAUAGGAAAAGGAAAAAAAAAGAUCCUCCUCUUCAAUCAGUAUAGCUUAGGUCACAUUAUUAAGAUUCUAGAAUGAAUUAUUCAAUGUAGAGUCCUUUGAUUUCUCAACACAAAAUUCCGGUGGGAAACUGAACCAAGCAUUUGAAUAAGGGGAGCAUGAAAACAAACGGCUGCUACCGGCGACAAUUUCUAGAUGGUUGUUGUGUGGACGGCAUUCUUUUUAUCACCUGAGAUGGUCAUUUUCUUUCAGCAUUCAAAGCUGACUUGCACCUUUUUGUCAUUCUCUGAAGAUUAUUAAAGUUUAAAUGUAUAAAAAAACUUACCUUAACUUGCAUAAUCACUGCAAAAUCCAAACUUUUAUGAUGUGAUGUCUACUAAUUGUAUAUUAUAAUCCUGGUGGCCAAAAAUGAGCUGUGUCAUGCUCAUAAAAGAAAACUCAUCUUAAAUAAAAAAUCUUAUCUCUCUAUAACCCUAAUCCUUCUCAUUUAGUCUUUAGGGAAAGUUAAAAACAAGGGGAAUGCAUCUCCAAAAUAUGGAUCAUAAUUGUCACUUUCCUGAUAUUAAUUAUUGCUCCGAACCAAUCAAUUAGGUUUGUUAGGAACAAAACGUAGGGCGAUCAAGCUGGAAAAUGAGCUUGUAAGUGAAAAUAAUGCAAUAUAAACCUAAACUAAGCAUGGGUGUGCUUGUCAAUAUACUAUGAACUACAAUGUAUUUGUAACCUAAGCAAUAUGGCUAUAUAGCUUUAGAUUUUGCAUCGCUAGAGUAAAUGGGUUAACAAGUUAAGAGAGGAAAUACUAUUUUUGUUCUAUUGUUGUGAAGAAUCUCAAUAUCUAGUAAAUAGAAAGUAAAUAUUAUAUAUGUCCUCGUAGACAUAAAUUAUCCCAUUGAUCACUUCUAAAAUAAAAAAAAGUAUAACUCUUAUAUAUUAGAUUAUGAACCUUGUCUCAAAAAGAAAAAAAAAAAGGAUUAUGAGCCUAAAGAAACAAGUUAGUGCUUUUCUGUUCAAUUUUUUCAUGAUAAGCCUAUAAUUUGAAAUUUCAGGUAUCUAACCUAUUUUCCUAAGCUUUUUUUGCGAGGUUUAUUUAUCCGGUUAACAUGUUUUAUCACUUUUGGCAUAUAACACUAUACUACUGCAUAUUUUGUUCAUUGAAAAUUUACAAAAAAAAAAAGAGAGGUAUUGUAUCCAUUCUUCCAAAGGUAAUUCCCAAGCUUAAUCUGAAUCCCGGCUUUCUUUAUAGAAUUUAUGAAGUAUCUAUCUUCUUGCCGCCUCGCACUUAGAAUCUAUCAUGGAGAGAAACUAGUUGUCUGCAGCUAGAUAUAAACUUCUAUACAAGUUCAUAUUUUCAACUUUUAUAAAAGGUAUUAUCGGACUCCCAAAUGCAUUUUGAGUCCACAUAUCUUUAUAUUACAUUCUAUUAUAUGGUUCUCAUUUCCAUUACAGAAGACUCUGAUUGCAUCAGUUCACCGAUGGCAUAAUGAGGCUUUAGAGUAGGAUACAACAUGAUCUUAUAAGUAUACAUCUUACCCUGGCGAAAAAUGCAACACUUACACUUCCCAACUGCAAAAGCUAUUAGAAAAGAAAAAAAAAAUCAUGACAGAAUGCAGAAACUUGAUGCAAAUUUUUCUGGAGGUAAAAAAAGAAGAACCAUAUUUGACAAUACUAGAAUGUAUCUCACGUAGGUUAACGUAUCUUUAAAAAAAAAAUGCUCAUCCUAUAUUGCAAGCCUUUCAAUAUAAGCCUUAGAUUCGAUCCCAGCCAUCGAAUCCAUAUCUGAGCCGAUGUAUCGACGAGCCCCUGGUUUAAAAAACUUUUGACCGUUGGCAUUGGGUUGCACCGAGACCGCAUGUCCCCAGCCUGAGUUCGUUAGGGCAGCUUCUUCGCCCCUCUGACCCUAACUGCCGUCUAAAAUAACGGAAUCCCGUCCCUCAAAUUGCCUUGAGAUAACGUCCGUUACGUGCUACACCACUCAACGGUCGCUCUGAUCCCGUCAAGGGAAACGAUACCCUCACGGCGGAGACGGGAACUAGUUCGUUAAUGCACCGUUUCAUCGGAAGUUGAAAAGGGGAAACGGGAACAUGCAGAUUUUAAGCGGGAAACCAUUUCAUCGUGGGGAAAGGGAGCCAGUUCGGUCAACGGGAUCCGACCGGGGGUGAGAUCGUAAAUUCGAGCAGUAGCACGGGGUAAAAUGGCAAAAUGGGCAGCGAAGUCUCCCUGUGUGUCUCCCUAUAAAUGGCGUUCGGCUGCCUCUUAUCGUCUCUUGGCCCCUUGAGCUCUCUCCCCUCUUCUUCUUCUUCUUCUUCUUCUUCUGCGCCAACGGCGGGCGGGUGAGAGAGAGAGAGAGAUAGAGAGGGAAGGGGGGAAGAGAGCGAUGGAAACGAGGAGCGGCUCGCGAUACCCGAAGCUCCAAUCGGAGGUUAAUGGAGGGGAGGGGGGAUAGGAAGCGGCGGAGAGGCCAAGUCAAGGAAUAUUUAUCCGGGAAGCGGCGGCGAGAAGCGUCGCCGGCGGAGGAGGGAAGUGGUGAUGAAGAGCCCAACUUUUUAAAUCAAUUGCCGGACGAUAUUGUCGUCUGUAUCCUCUGCAAGCUCAGCUCCUCCGCCGCUUGUCCUUCUGACCUAAUCAACGUUCUCUUAAUGUAAUAUUCCUUCUUUUGGUCAUCUUUUUGCUGUGUAUUUUGAUGUAAUCGGUUCGGUUUCGUGGUUUUUGCUUCGCAUUUGGGGUAAAAAUCUGAUCUUUUUGUGGUUUUCUGGGUGAUAGCUGCAAGAGAUUGAACGGAUUAGGUUUGCAUCCCCUGGUUCUCUCGAGGGCGGCGGCGAAAUCACUCGCUGUCCGGGCGAAAAACUGGUCAGAAUCCGCUCACCGGUUCUUAAAACAGUGCGCCGAUGCCGGAAAUCUUGAAGCUUGCUUUAUUCUCGGCAUGGUAGGUUGAGGUUCCCCUGCGCAUCUCUCAACCUCUUAAUCUCGGGUGCUUUUUUCUGGGAAUCGAGGGGACUCGAGGUUUGAUUUUGUUUUUGGUUUGGAAAUGGGGCAGAUCCGAUUCUACUGCCUCCAGAACAGGGGGAGCGGGGCGGCGCUGAUGGCGCGGGCGGCGAUGGGGUCGCACGCGGCGGCGCUCUACUCGCUGGCGGUGAUCCAGUUCAACGGCAGCGGGGGUUCAAAGAACGGCAGAGACCUCCGGGCCGGCGUCGCGCUCUGCGCCCGUGCGGCCUUCCUCGGCCACGUCGACGCCCUUCGCGAGCUCGGCCACUGCCUCCAGGACGGCUACGGCGUCCGCCGUAACGUCGCCGAGGGCCGCCGCUUCCUGGUCCAGGCCAACGCCCGCGAGCUCGCCGCCGUCCUCUCCUCCUCAUCCUGGCCACCGGCGGCGGUGCCGACAGGGUGCUGCCCCCUUCUGAGCGACUUCGGGUGGAGCGUGCCGGCGACGGAGCCGCACCCGGCGAACCGGUUCCUGGUGGAGUGGUUCGGUGCUCGGGGCGGCGUGGCGGGGGACGAGCUGAGGCUGUGUUCGCACGGGGGGUGUGGGCGUCCGGAGACGCGGCGGCACGAGUUCCGGCGGUGCUCGGUGUGCGGGACGGUGAACUACUGCUCCCGUGCGUGCCAAGCUCUGGACUGGAAGCUCGCCCACAAGGUCGACUGCGCCCCCAUGGAACAAUGGCUCCUCGACGGCGCCGCCGCUCCGGCGGCGGCGGUGGGUGGUGGUGACGCUGCGAUGGAGUGAGGGAGGAAAGGUUUCGUGAGGUCGGAAUCAGAGUCGUCAAUUUUCCCCCUUUUUCGUUGUACAGCAGGGAAAAUUAGGAGUAGGUCUCCUCUAUAUUUAUUUAUUUAGAUUCCCAUUUUAGGUGGAGACAUGGUGCCUCUUUUGAGGUAAAAGCUUUUCGGCUCUUCCUAGUUCUAAUUUAAUUUAUGGAAAAAUUGGAUCUGUUUUGAUCACCGGUGGAUUUAGUGUGGAUGGUUCUUAUGAAGUUCCUUCCAUUUUCUUGAAAAAAUAUUUAAAUUUCGCUUGAGAUAUUGGAUGAAGCUACAGGUGCAAAUUUCCUACUUGGAGCAAUUUUUAGUAUGCAGAUUAAACCCGAAAUAUUGGUCAGAUGCUGCUCGCAAGAAUGCUUUUCCUAUCUCCUUUAACUCUCGGUCAUUUUUAUUUUGUGCCUCUCAAUUUAAAAUAUUUUAAUCUAAUCUCUGAAGUUAGUUAAGUGGCUCAAUAUAAUUUUACCAUUCAUUCUGAGUCUUUAGAAUUGUAGACGAAUAGGUGUGGGAGCAAGGGCUUGUAUGAGGCUCGAGACUAUUUUAGAUGGAGAGGAGGGAUGAAAAUAGUGGUAGUUUAGAGAAGAAGAGGUGUUGGAGAAGGAUGAGGUAGGAGAGAUAGACCUCGAGCAUGGCUUGGGAACAUAUUAGAUAGCGAAGAGGAAUGAGGAUAGCGAUGGGGAUUAGAAAGGACAAAAAGGAUGCAUUGGAAGAAGAGCAGAUAGUGGAGUGGAUGGGGUUUGGAUGACAUUUAGUUAGAUAUUAAGGAGGAAUGGAGAGGAGUGAUGAGGAUGAUGAUGGAGUUUAGAGAGGUUCAAUAAUAAUUUUUUUAUUGCACAUUAAUCAAUUAAUUUUAAUGAUGGCCAAACAAAAAUUCCUAUCAUUAGUAUUGAUGCCAUUAAUAUCCGUAUCUACUUAGUGAAUGUAGAACUAAACCUUCGCAGAAAAAUUCUCAUAAGUAAUAUCAAUAUUAGUAAUACCGGCACCAUGCAAUGUGCAAGAUGAUUUUUUCUUCUUUUUUUUAUAUUCUAGAAAUGCUAUAUAACAAGUUAUAAUAAAUAGAAUGCUUCAAUUGCUAAAUUUUUGUUGCAUAUUAACUAAUUAACUUUAAUGAUAGCCGAGCAAAAACUUUCAUCAAAUAUCUAAAGUGAUAUAAUAAUAUCAGUUUAGAUAAGAAUAAUCCUUACUAUGUUGUAGCGAGAUAACAUUCUCAAGGAUAAAUUAUACUUAUAUCAAUUAUACAAGUAUCAACGAUACUUAGUAUUGAUAAUAGCAAGAUCUCCAUUGUAAAUUGCUUAUAAUCACUUAUCAUUAAAGAAAUAGACAAUAUAAUACUUACUUAUAAUAGAUAUCUAUUAAUCAGUGAUUUAAGGGCCUAACUUACUCUUGUAUCAGUUGUAAGAGCCCUACUUAUUAUCAAAAUAAAGAGCUAUGAAAGGAUAUUAUUUAUUCUAUCGUCCACAAGAAAAGUGGAGAGCUCGGCUCAGUAAUUUUUUAUUUUACGUUACUAAAUAUAUUUAGUAAAUCCCAUUCAUAUUUUUUUCUUUCAUAGAAUGUUUCUUUCAUAUACAUAUGACUAUGACAAUUUAUAAAUCUCUAAAUCCAUAGAAUAUUUUCAAUAGAUCACUAAAAAGUUGUUGAUCUUCAUAUGGAUAUAGAUUAUUUUGAUUCAAGUGCUCUUUUCUGAGUGGAGUGUAUGCCCUAAAAAUUGGUUGUAAGCUAACUUGUGUACAAUAUCAAAAAACAUAUAAACCAAAAGACAUAACACAAUACGGAAGUCUAUUCAAUUCACAUACUCAAAAAUUAUUAGAAUACCAACCCUGCGGAGUAUGGCUUUUUUUUAACUAUUUUUGAAAUAUAAUAUAAUAAUAUAGCAAAUUAUAAUAAAUAGAAAGCUUCAAUAGUUUAUUUAUGUUGCAUAUUAAGCAAACUAUACAAUUUCUUUUAGAAAAAAUUGAACAUUGAAAAAAUAUUUAAUUUAAAAAUGAUGCAAAUCAAAAUAAUGGUUGUUAUAGACAUCAAAACUAGCUAUUAUAAAACUAAAUAAUAUGUUAUAAGAGAUCCAUUUAUCAAAAAUAAGAAAUUAUCAAGAGAGAAGGAAUUAAGAUUUAUAAAUUUAUUAAAAUAAAAAAAUAAUGAAUGUGAAUAGUUCAUAUCAAGAGUAACGAGUUUGAUGAACGAGUCUCAUUAUUUUAGAUAUAUUUAUAAUAGACUAUCCAAAAUAAGAACUGUAUUAAUGACAUUAUUAAUAUAGUCCAAAAUAAAGAAUUGCAUUAAAUAAAGACUUUGCUUAUUAUUCAAAAUAAAUAAAUAUAUAUAUUAAUAAUAUUAUUAAUAUGGGUGUGCAUAUGAAUUGAAUAGAGAGCUCAACUUAUAUAUAAUAGAUUACGUAGGUACCGAUUCAACCUUUUAUCAAUUUUAAAUAUGCUAUUUACUUUGGUUUGGAAAUCUUUAUUGCAAUAAACUUGAUGUAUUAAAGCCCGUCACCUAAACAGCGUUUUCCUCUCACAUAUAUUUUGGGGAACAACAUCCUGGACCAUCUUAAAAGGUGAUGCUACUCUCUUGCUUUAAGCUCAUAGUAUUUAACAAUUUUUCCGGCACUUACAGAGGGGCAUAUCAAGCUCAUUCAUUAUACUUUAAUUCUAUUUAGACUUACUCCCCUUGUAGAAAACCCAUCUUUACAAGAGAAACCCUUUGGUCAUGCAACUUGGAAGAAAAAUACCUAAUAAAAACCAAGUAACAAAGUCCAUAUAAAAAGAGUUUGCAACUUUUCCUCUUUUUAUUUUCAUGUAACUUUCCUCAAAGGAAGUGGACUCCCCUAAAUUACUUUGGGGUUAAGUUGAUGGCUGGAGAGCAGGCAGACUACUCAGUAAACAAAUUCAUAUGAUAAUGCUUAUGUGUAGCAAACACUUCCAUAGCUCUCAAGUCAUAUAAUAAUACUUCUCAGUAGUAAUACUUCCAUGAUUCGAUAACAAAAAGGAUAGGAGACAGUAGGUAGUGGGGAGAGUAUCAGGAAUCUAAGGCUCCAAUGGAACAAAAUCUAUUAUAUCCACAAUCUACCCAUUCUUUUUUUUUUUGUAGUAGGUGGUAAAAAAUAAGAACACAAAUUUUUUAAAAAAGUGAAAAGAUGGGAUUUGGUUUCCAGCUAUCAAAAGCUAACCCACCUUCCUUCUCCCUUCCUCUCCUCCUUGUCUUCUUGAGCUGUUCUCCACCCAGCAAGUGGAGGUGUGAUGCUUUUAAGCAGUGGACGCAGAGACUAACGGUGAACUCACCGUACGGUGACGGGAUGUGCGGUUGAAAGAUGGCGUCCCCAAGAUUCGAUCCCACCCACUUCCAACGGACCGUCCUUAGUCUCUAACCAGCCUCUUAAUUUGUUGAUUUUUUUGGAUGGUCGGUGACAUGACUCCACAUGUGUCAUG
RNAcentral lists this long non-coding RNA (66368 nucleotides) under Phoenix dactylifera (date palm). Its description in RNAcentral is "long non-coding RNA (PDAC_LNC001926)". The record is from RNAcentral. Lineage: Eukaryota; Viridiplantae; Streptophyta; Magnoliopsida; Arecales; Arecaceae.